UCUAAAUCAGAUCAAAUGAUUUACUUGUGUGUUGGGUGUAUCCCAGAAGCCCACAUCAAAUGGAAAAUCACCCUCACCUCCCUGGAUUUGUUCAAUCAUACCAUCCAUGGGUCCCUUUUUCUGUGCUGCAGUUUCUUCUGUCCUGAGGCUUGCGAUAAGCAUCUCUCCAGAAGCCGAAAAGUCAGUUUCUUGAUCCAUUUGAGCAUGCUCAGCUAACAGGCUUUCCCACCAUAUGAUGUCAUCAUUCGGUUGUGGUGACGUGGAUCAGCUUACUGGAAGUACUUACUUGUGUGUCAAAAGUAUCCACAGCUGUAGUUUUUAGUUCAAACCUUGGCAAGGCUUUGGAGAACUUGUGAGGGUGAGGUUUUAUAGCUUUGGUUUUAGAAUGUGUUCCCUUUUUCUGUGUUGCAGUUUCUUCUGUCCAGAGGCUUGCGAUAAGCAUCUCUCCAGAAGCCGAAAAGUCAGUUUCUUGAUCCAUUUGAGCAUGCUCAGCUAACAGGCUUUCCCACCAUAUGAUGUCAUCAUUCGGUUGUGGUGACGUGGAUGAUGGCUUACUGGAAGUACUUACUUGUGUGUCAAAAGUAUCCACAGCUGUAGUUUUUAGUUCAAACCUUGGCAAGGCUUUGGAGAACUUGUGAGGGUGAGGCUUUAUAGCUUUGGUUUUAGAAUGUGUUUGGGGUUUUUUUCUCCCUUCUUCCUGGAACUGAACCUUCUUUUUCAGGUGGUGACCAUGCCAAUAGUUCUUGACAUCAUUAGCAGUCCUCCCUGGAAGCCUACCCGCAAUCAAGGACCAUCUAUACACGCACAACAUCAGACAAAGUAUCAACUGAACAGCUCUUUUGUAAGUUCUGAACAGCUUCAGAACUAAUAUAAUAUCAUUAUCAAGCUAGUACUUGAGUUAUUAUAGACUUGCCUGUUCCCCAACAAAUUGUGAAGCCUAAUCAUGAGAUCAACCUCGUCUAAUGCAAACUCUCCUCUCUUGAUAUCUGGCUUCAAAUAAUUGAGCCAUCUCAAUCUGCAGCUCUUUAGGCAUCUAUUCAACCCUGCAAACUCAAGAAAACGAAACUCUUUAAGCAAAACAGAAGUAAAAAAAACACAAAUUAAUACUGAUCCCUUUCUCUUUCAUGUCACCUGCUCGGAGGGGAACCAGAUGCCACUUUCCUUCUCCAUAUUUCUCAAUGCAUUUCCUCAGGAGAACAUCCUCUUCUUGGGUCCAUGCACCCUUUCUAACUCCUAAGCUCUUCAUCGAGUCAACUCAACACAAGAGACCGGCUCCUUCUCUAAUUAUUGAUUGAUAUAUAACAACCUCGAACCUGUUCUAUCUCAUGACUCGGACACCAGACCCCUAAUUGGUUGAUUCGACACGUUUCUUAUGGUGCAUUACCUGGCUUCCGAAUGCGAUGGACAUCAUGGACAAAGGGUGUGUGUCAUAAGAGAUAUUUACCCAUUAUGUAUCAACUUACUAUAAAUGUACAGCGAAAUUUAGGAAUUAAUUGCUGACUAGUAUCCUUUAUGAACAAUCUCUAUUUUGUGGUGCAAAUGUAUAAACUGGUGUGAUCCCGAAGACAACCACGUGCUACCAUAUUUUAAUGUCCAGAGGAAUUCAUUUGGACAUUGGUAGGAUGAAUGGGACAUUACGUAGAAGAUUUGGAUUCUGAUACCACUGUUUCCUUGACAAAAAGCAACCAAGUGAUGGGAACCUUUGAGGGCCACCGCUCCUCUUUCAACUUUAACAUUUUCUUUUGUCGACUAACCCAUGUUCACUGAAAAGGGAAGCUCCAUGGGUCCUCUACCAUUAUAUUAUGGCCGCUAUGCAGUGGCAGCAGCUAAUUCAUGGGAAUUGUCAGCGAAGAAAGGUACAAUCAUUAGGAUAUGCCUCUGGCUCGCGGAGGACUUUGUUUCUGACCAGUAACGUCGAUAAAAAUACAUUUUAGAACUUUUUCUAUUGUCAAUUCAAUGACCGGGUUCAUUCUCAACCAUCCAUCUGUUGCUUGGGACGUGUGUCAUUUCCUACAAUGUACUCUCCUCACUGACAAUUAUUUUCCCUCAAAUAUAUACAAGUAUAAAAAUUUGCAUAUAAAUUAAAAUUGUUUUAAAAUUUGAAAAAUGAUGGAAAUUGAUAAAAGUAUAAAAAUUUCACCUGAACCUUUGAAAUUUUUUGAUAAAAUAAGUAAUGUGUAGAUAUUAAAUUAUUAUAUUUUAAAAAAAUUAAUAAAAUAACAAAUAUGAGUUUUCAAGUGAAUAUUUUGAUUAGUAGUGUUAAGAAAAAAAAUUUGUUAUUGUUAAUAAAAAUAGAAGAAAGUUAUGAUUUUGCACACCAGUAAUUCCUUAAUUCUGCAUGCAUCAUUUUCUCCAAAGACCUUUUGACAUUAAAGAAGGAAAAAAGAAAAAGAAAAAAAAAGAGCUUAAUAUAGAGGCAGCAAUAAGAUAUCUUAUUGAAGAAGACGUUUUUAGACUUAUGUGGGAACAUUAUAGGCUUUAAUGAAAUUUUUAUAAUAUCAUUUUUAUCUUCUUUUUUUCUUAAUUAAAAAAAGUUGUUAUUCCAAAUAUAUCAUUUUCUAAACCUAAACUAUUUAAUCGGCGUGUAUUAUUGGUUUAAUGCGAAUUAAAAACCAAAGUUCCUUCAUUUUUUAUUGCUUUAAUGUGGAAUGUAAAAAAAUUAAUUGGUUAAAAGAGAUUCAAUACUCCUCGUAUUUGUGAAUUUAUCGCUUCCUUCUUUUUACUUGAAAAAUAACAUAUUUUUUAUUAUAUAAAUGUCACUUAUCAUCUCAAGUAUUUAUACAUAAUUUUAAGAGAAAUGAUUAUUUUUAUAAGAAAAAAGUGAGGAUAUUUAUACCAAAACGAAGCCAAAAAAGAAUGGAGGGUUAAACCCUAUUUGGUAACUAUUUUUUAAAACCGUUCUAAAAAAUAGUUUUUGAAAAUUAUUUUAUAAUUUUUUAUAAAAUAAAAGUCGGUUUGAAAACCUAAAAUAUUUUUAACAUAUUUUAAUAUUUUUAAAAAUAACAUUUUAUAUCCAAUGUUUUAUUUUUAAAUUAUAUUAUAUGUUUGUAUAAUUAUUUUUUAAAAUAAUUUUUUAAAAAUAAAUAAAAAUAAUAUAAAACAAUUAAAAUAUGUUAUAUAAAAAGACUUUAUUAUAUAUUCUUAGAAACAUAAAACAAAAAAAAAAAAUUCUAGUUGUAAGACUGUAGACCCCUUUUGUGGUGAGGGCCCGGAGAGUUGUUAUUUCUUUCCUUUUCAUUAUAUCCUUGGAAGGGGGGACCUCCCUGAAAGCAGCUGCAUGGUUUGUGGUGAGGCCCCGUGAGAGUUGUUAUUUCUUUCCUUUUCAUUAUAUCCUUGGAAGGGGGGACCUCCCUGAAAGCAGCUGCAUGGACGUGUAGCAAGAGAGGAUGGUUGGCCAUGGUGGUGGGUGAAUAUGACGGAUUGGCGGAAUGGUGCACAGUGGAGCGGGUGAUGGCUUGCUGCAGAAGACAGGAACAGGGGGGAGGAGAUAUUUAGCUGAAAUUUUCCUUUGGCUUGACGGGGGGGAAGACCUUUUUUUCGUGAGGCUUUUGAGAAGAAAACCAGAGGUGUGCUGAGAAGGAGGGGCCUCAACAAGGAGAAACCGGAGGAAGGGGAGAGCUUUCCAGGGACCGUGAGAAAGAAGCAGGGGAGGAAUCGCUCAGGUUUGAUCAUACCUUACCUUGUGUUCUUCACCUUUCUUUUAUCUCAUUUUAUUUUGAUGGUCACACUAAUGCUUCUAGUUGAUGUUUGGAUGCUUGCUCUGAUCAUUUAAUGUGUUAAAUCUGCUUCUUGUUUUCGUUUGCUGGGUCUCUGUCUUCCCUUGUAUGAGCUGUGUGAUUAUUAUGCUGUUUGUCUAUGUGAUAAGACCAUUCGGACCCUCUCACCAGCUUCUUUUGAAAGCUCCUUAAUUUUCAUCAAAAUGGGGCUUGGAUUUAACGGCAUCAUCUUCUCUUCUAUAUACUCUGUUUUUUUUUUUUUAUCACUAUCAUCCCUGUUUCUGGCAUUUUGGAGUGUUGAACAUCAUGUCGAAUCUGGCGAAAUCAGACCGUCUUCGCUUCACACCGUUUAUGAUCUCAGCCAUGAGGAGUGUUGCUAACAUUCAGGUAUGAAAGAGAGUGAUGUAAGGAGUGGCCAUGGGCGACGUUAUGAAGCCAAGAAAUAAUCCUGAGCUAGCCAAUUUUAAAACAGUCCUAACUCUGGGACGGUUGGGUAUGUAUAUGGUAUGGCGUUCUUCAUUAUUGAUCUACUAGCCUAGGCAAUUUAGAUUAUGGCCAAGUGUUCUGAUAGAGAUGGAGAAGCUAUAAGGCUGCCAGAGGACCAAUUCCAAAAGAUGGAAAAUCAUGCUCUGAACGAAGAGCCGCUGUAUGCUUUUAGAUUGAGUUGUGGAGCUGCAGAUACAUAAACAGAGGGCUGCGGAGGAAUUAUCAUCAUGUAAGAAGCUUCCCGACUUGCCUCAGAAUCAAUCAUCAAGCAAAGCCCUGCCAAAUUUAGAGAGAGUGGAAUCACUUGUACAGGUGAACCUUUCCAACAAUCAUUUGCAUGGCAGUUUACCUUCCACCAGAGCAUUCUUCGCCAUCAAUUCGAGCUUAGUCUCAGGAAACAAUCCUUGUGGUGGGGACACUGCAAGUGAGCCACCACCAUGCAAGAGGUUAAAAAUCCCAGUUGGAGGGUUCUUCGUCACUUGUCUCCUAGUUGUUUCGGUGGUGCUCACUCUUGCUGUUUUUGCCGCUGUGUUCAUCCUACACCGAGAUGGGUCAGAGCUCAAGAGGGUAGAACAUGAAGAUGGGAUGUGGGAAAUGCAGUCCUUUGAUUCCAAAGUCUCAAAAUCGAUCACAAUCCAAAGCAUACUGCCGUUUAUAAUAGAAAAUAAUGUGAUUUCAUACAAGGAAAAGAUUAAAAUGGUGAGACGGCCUCCCUUACAGCUUUGAUGAAUCGACUUGUUAUUCAUCUAAAAAAGGCUCAUGGAUCAGAAUCCUAUGAGACCAUCUAUAGUGUAUCUUCUGAAAUUGUCAUAAGAGGUCCAGGCCCACUUUUGCAUGGUGCGCCUCCCAAAUACCCCACUUACCCAUCUUUUUGUUCCCGCCACCUUUCCUUUCUCUAUCACCACAUGCAUCUCUCAAGCCCACCAUGCCCAUAUUUCACACCCACUGAACCCAUGUUUCUCUCAUCACCCCUCAUCCGAUCCCACACGAGCUCACCACCUUCAUGUGUUCAUUCCUCACUCAUACAUGUAUGGAACCAUGCAUCCAUGGCUGCCCAUCAUUCCCACUCCCGUCUCGUGCCAACUGCCCAAGCCAUUCCACUUCAUCACCUUUCCACCCCCCAUGCUUGCCACAUUCAUUUCUUCCAACACCCUUUAAACUCACUCCAUCCGCCACCCAUUUAACCCCAUUGCAAACAUGGCCACCUCAUACCCAUUUCUCUUACUCAUAAUUCCAUUCAACACUUCCCAACUCACCCCGUUUCCCCGCCAUCUCUCAAUAUUCCUUAACCCAUUUAUCUCAUUAUCCCCUCCACCAUGUAACCCACUGUCUUCAUGCCCCGCUAAUCCCAUACCCGUCACCACUUUCUCUCUCUCUCUAAAUCUUCAUCCAUACCCAUUUCUCUCACUCACUACCUUUCCGUUCUUUCCAAACCCACAAAACCAUCUCAUCCCGCCACCUUCCAUCCUCCGUUCCGCCAAUAACCACCCGAAGACUAAGAAGAUUCUACAGUUCCAGCGCUCGAGACAAAUAAUUACUGGCGUCUUUUCCGAAAGAGAACAAGACAAUAAUGAGUAUGCUGCACGGGUUGAUCCCUAUGUGACAUGCGGGUAUCCUAUUUUAAGGGGUGUCUAGGAAUUGAUUUGCAAGCCAGGAUACAUAUCCGCCACAGCGAAGUGCCUGGCUUACGUCAUUUGCAUCACAAGACAAUCAUGAGAUGCGAGUAUCGUUUGCAUUGGAGUGAAGUGUACUCUCCAUAAUUGGUGCUCUUGGAAGUAUACCUACGAGAUGAAGCAGAUAUAUUAUCUGUUUUAUUUGUGUUAAAGUAUAUUAUAUUAUGGGCUAUAGGCCCAAUUAGGUUAUUUGUAUAGUACUUGUACUAUACACUUGUAUCGCACAGUAUUUGUACUGCACACUUGUACCGCACCCUUGUACUGCACCCUUGUACUAUACACAUAUGCCUCCUAUAUAAAGACACUGAUGUAUAUUCUUUUAAUCACAUAAUAGAAUACAAUUAUUCUAUAUUUCUAACAUGGUAUCAGAGCCACUGUUCUGAACUUUUUUUUUUUUCUUAGCAGUCUUGUUUUCAUUAGUGUGACUUCCUUCUUUCACUAAGUCAUCCCGUCGUCGUCCUUGGGUUCCGGACCUGCAGCUGCCAUCGUUAAGAAGUUUCACACUGCACAGACCACUGCCCUUUGCAUCACCGCUGCGAAUAUUGCUCCGAUUUCAUUUUUGAAGGUACCAUUGAGAUCGUCCAGCGCCGAUCUACACAGUACUUGUACUGCACACUUGUACCGCACCCUUGUACUACACCCUUGUACUACACACAUAUGCCUCCUAUAUAAAGGCAUUGAUGUAUAUUCUUUUAAUCAUAUAAUAGAAUAUAAUUAUUCUAUAUUUCUAACAAUUUGAUAAUGGAUAAAAUCAUGGUGACUUUGUGGUCUACUCCAUCGAGAAGUCCUCUCAAGAGAUAGGGUCGUCUUAUGAAGGCACGUCGGAUUUUGACGGUGUAAGAGUUGCUGCAUGGAUAGUGCUGUCCAUCUCAAUUCCACUUUCAGAAGCUCGGAAGGUUUGCGGCAUGCUAUCUAGAAUUCUUCAUCGCUCUUGUCGUGGGAUUGAUUGGCUUCAAAGAGAUUGAAUUCUUCCUCUUGAGUUAGACAGGUUGCUCAGGCAGGAGGCUAUCUUGUCUGCUCCCCUCUUGGAGCCUAUACACAGGAUGAGGACGACCUUAGAAUACAGAGGGAAAUGGUUGUCCUUGCGGAAUGCAUAUGUUGGAGAAUAGCUGUAAAAAAGGAAUCAAACCGUCAUUUGGCAGAAACCUCUGACCAAUGGUUGUCACAAGGAGCGAACGCCUGUUACUCGGCCUCCAGCAUGGAUGAUGCGCUAAGCUGGAAGGUACAUGGCUGUUUACAAAAAACUUGCAGAGAAAUACCCCCUCCUUCAGACAGAGAGGAGGUGAGAGGCCCUGUUAUCCAUUCUCCAAUUCGCUCCGAGGAAGGAGGUGGGGGGACAAGCUGCUGUUCCGGGUUUUGUGGGAGUACCUUGAACAAUGGGGACAUGUAUAGUGGAAGGCGGUACAACUCGGGCACAUACGAUCAUAAAAAGCGUGUGUCAUACAACACCAAAUGUAUUGAGGGCUUUUCUUUCUCAUUUGACGCUUGUAAUAUCUGAAUACAUUGUUUUCUAAGUUGAAUCUGGGGCCCACUGUAUUCAAAUAUUUGACUCUUGGGGUGGUCAACUACCGCCUGAUAUGGGGGAGUGCUGGUCAAAACCCUAUAUUGGAAGAGUUGAGGUAGAAGAAGAUGGUGAUAUCGGCAUCAGAGCUACGAAGGAGGGUUUAGGGCUCCAAGCAGCUGGAUCGGAUAGCUUCAGGGCUGACUUAUGCUGGAAUGGGAUGCAGGGGUCCACAAGGAAAGAGAUAUUUUAUACCAUCUGGACCCACAACAGUCAUUGGUAUUCCAUAUUCGACCACCAUUGCACAAGACCCCUUGCAUGGCCACCUUUUGAUAGGCCAUCAUCAAAACCCGUGGCUCCCCUCCUUUUAUUUUCAUGCAAACCUCCAGAACCUGAUUUUCGAGGAUCAUCGUUUUUUUUUACGUGAUUUUAAUUCUUCACUUUUUUUCUCUUUUUCUUGAUUCUAGGUACCAUUUUCAACUAGACUUGCCUAUUUUCGUUCAGUUUAUUUAUUUAUUCAUUUAUUGCUAUUAUUAUUAUUAUUAUUAUUUUCAUUUUUUGUUUUCAUCCUUGUUUUUAUUUUUAUUUCCUAUCCUUGACUUUAGAUAUUUUCCAUUCUUUAAUAAAUUUGGUAGCCACAUUCCUUCUCGACCAAUAUCUUUCAUAAAUCCUCUUUUAUUUUUAAUGAUUUUCUAAUUUUCACGUUUAAUAAGCCAAGAUUUAAUUUUGUGAUUCCAAUUAAUGGAAUUUACGAAAUUAAUUCAUUGCUAAAAUAAAUUAGGUUUUGAUGGGAGCCUCACAUGUGAUUUUAUAAUUGAUUGAUCGUUUGAUUGAUUUGAUUGUUAUGCAUGAUCGAUCUAUUAUGUUCUAAGACAUGCAUGAUAUUGUUCCUUAAUUGUGUACUAACCCUCUCUCUUAAUAGCGCAUGGUAACUCAUUGUCCAGUUACGUACCCACUUUCACUCUGAUCAGUGUCUACGCAUUUUCUGGUUCUCACAUGUGCAUGUUUUAUUCUAAGUAUUCAUUGAUUCACUCAUCCAUUAUCAUGAUUACUUCAUCUCAUUAGUAGAGACCCGGUUUUAAGGAUUUAGAGGGGUGUUACGGUCUUUACCGUACCUUCCCAAUAAGUAACCUGACCUCCGAGCCUGACCUGAUUUUUCACAGACUACCUUUUCCAAAAUAAAGAGUCACACUUAGGGUCUUCUUUUUUAUUUUGUUUACCCUUUUAAAAAUAAAACAAAAAUAAGUGGCGACUCCAAGUCAUUUUCCAAUAAACAAAGUCAUUUUUAAAAUAAGAAUUGAGUUCGCCAUCGAGUAAAAAACGUAUGAGCCGAAACAUGGGGUCCACACAAAUAUAUUUUCGUGUUUUUUUAUUUUAAAUAAUAAAAAGUUAUUCUAAAAAACCAUGCUAAGCAAAUUCUUAAAUUUCCGAAAAAACAAAAAACAUAUAAGGUUACCAAGAAAAUUUUUUAUGAGACUUCUAAGUUUUCAAUGAAGAACCAGAUUGAGACUUCAAUUAAAAAAUAGAAUCUUAAUUGACAAUUAUAACUUUAAUUUAAAAACGAAGUAUCAAUUGAUAAUUAUGACUUCAAUUCAAAAACCGAAGUCUUAAUUAAUAAAUAUACCUUUAGUUCAAAAAUAAAGUCUCAACUGUAAUUGUAAUGAGAUCUUAACUAUAUGUUUUAAAAAAUAUAUAUUUUUGAGAUGCUCGUAUGCGGCACUUAAGAGACCAACAUAAAUUUUAUAAAGUAGUUAGAUAUGGGACAUUUUGGCCCAAAACUCCAGCAAGUAGCACCUCUGUUUUGUGCUGGGUACUGGACCAGACGACAGUGGUCAAAGCUGACUGUGACCUGGGCCCACAGGCUAAUUUUAAGCUGCACUCGUGACCAGCGCUUCCAGCGUGCUGGGUCAGACGAGGCAGCGGUGGUGAAAGUGGGCUGUGAGCUGGGCCCACAAACCAAUUUUGUGAAAAUCCAGAAGGUGAAAAUCGGUGACGUGGCACCGACAUGUUCCAAACCGUCGACGUUUUCAUCACUGAAUUUUCCAGCACUUCAGCCAUAAUUUCCAAGUACAUGUACAAGUUUUUAGGUAAAUUAAUUGUCGAACAUAUGAGAGUAUAAGUUUUGGAGCAAAUGAGUUGUACAACAUGUCAGAGCCUCAGUGGAAGGGAAGAGGGUUUAUAUAUUCAAAUAUUACUUAUAUUUAUUUUCUUAAUUUAUUAAACUUAAAAAUAAGAUAUUAUUUAAAAUUUUCUAAUGAAUUUUUUAUUUAUUAUUUAAUUACUUAAAUUAAUUUUUAUUUAUUUUUUUAAAUUAUAGAAUUAAAACUUUUUAUUUAAAUAUUGUUUAAUAAAUUUAAAAUUUAUUUUAAAUUAUCAAAUUUAUGGUUAAACAUAAAUAUUUAAAGUAUUAUAAAUACAUAAAAUAUAAUAGAUUUAUUAGAAAAAAAAUAAAUUAUUGAUGUGAAAUCAUGAUUAUAAAAUAUGCUAUUAUGUAGCAAAUAAGAUAAAAAAAAGAUUUGAAAUUAAGGAAAAAAAACUAUUUUGCCUUAAUAUUUGAAGUUAAAAAAAAAAAAAAACUGUAAUAUUGUUAUUUAAUUACUGAUAUGUGUUUGAAUGCCUAUCUCCUUAAUUUAUUAAGCUUAAAAGAAGUUAUUUGUUUUCUCUGUAAUCUCAAAAGAGACUACAAAAGAGUAUUAAAGUACUUGAUAUAAAUGAUAACUCAAGUCCUAUGAGCUUAAGUAUUCAGAUUAUAUUAAGGUGGUGUUUAUUUUUUUACUUAAUUCUAAAUAGAAAUUUAAUGCUUAAUAGUGUUAAAUAUUAGAUUGUUUAUUUUUAUAGUAUUUUAUUUCUAUUAAGUAUUAAAAAAUAAAAAAAAAUUAAUAUAUUAUUUUUUCUAUUUAAAAAAAAUUAAAUAUUUUGAUUUUUUCUAUUCAAUAAAAAAUUUAUAAUAAGUUAUAAAAAAAUAGAAAAAUAAAUAACCUAAAUUGUGAAAACAAUUUCCUUUCAAUAAUAAACAAAAGGGUAUUAGAGUACGCUAGCUAUCUAGAUAAUAAACUCAAGUCCUACGAGCUUAAAUAUUUAGGUUAUGCCUCAUCGUUGAAUUUUAUCUCAGAAUUUCCCAUGAUUCUUGCAAUAUAACCUGAAUAGUGCAGGUGUGAAGACAUGUAUGGCCCGGUAACUUUUGCUAUUUGUAGUCCUUAAUUAUAUAAUCAGAAUAAAAAUGCGUUAAAUUAAUCAAAUAUUAACUAGGGAGUAUGACAUUACACAAAAGUACGUGGGGAGGGAAGUAACUUGAUAUAAAACUGAUGAAAUCUCAGAUGCUCAUUUAUAUCAUGGCUUCUCCAAUGAGGCCCAUUUCAAAAGGAAAAUCAAAAUUCCCACCUCCAUUGGUAUCUACAGCUGAUGCAGUUUCGUCAGCCAGGAGGCUGGCAAUAAGCUCCUGAUCUUCAAUGGUAUGGUCAGCGAAUAGGCUUUCCCACCAUAAAAUAUCCUGGUUUGGUUGGACCAGUGUGGGUUGCAGCUCACUACAAGUACUGCCUUGUGUCUCAGAAGCAUCCACAGCUGUAGUUUUGAAUGUGAACCCUAGAAAGAGUUUGCAAGGCUUAGGCUUUAUCAGAGUGUUUUCAGAAUUGGUUUGGGCUUUAUCUUUCCCUUUUUCCUGGAUGGGAACCAUCUUCUUGAAGCGAUGAUGGUGCCAGUAAUUCUUGACAUCAUUCGCAGUCCUCCCUGGAAGUCUGCCGGCAAUCAAGGACCAUCUGGAAAAACAUAGCUACAAUUUUUUUAAAAGUGUUGAAUUAAAAUGAUCUUAUUUGAGUUUCUAAUUCAUGGAGGCGUUGUUUCUUUAACCAUCAGCUCCAGAAUUUGGUUUGGGUUAAGGAUCAGACAAGGAAAAAAAUUAAGGGAAGGUAGGUACAAUUCUUUUUUCUUUGCAAGUGAAAAAGCUUAAUUGAUUAAGCUUCUUUUCUUAUUUUACUUCAAUUUUUUUCUUUCAUUUUCCUCGUAUUUUCUCAGGAUUCAAUCCAAACUUGUAUCUCUAUUACCAAUCUAACAGUGGCUAUACUAAAUGUAAUAGGAAAUUAAUAAAUAAACUUGCCUGUUUCCCAACAGCUUAUGAAGUCUAAUCAUGAGAUCGACUUCAUCUGAUGCAAAUUUUCCUCUCUUAAUAUUUGGCUUUAAAUAGUUGAACCAUCUCAAUCUACAGCUUUUGCGGCAUCUACUCAAACCUGAAAAGGCAACUCUUCCAGUUAGGAAUAUUUAUUUAAGCAGGAAAAAAGUUUGCAGGCUUCCUCUCAUACGUAUAUAUUACCUGCUCGGAGUGGAACCAAAUGCCAUUUUUCUUCUCCAUAUUUCUCAACACAUUUUCUUAAAAGAAAAUCUUCUUCCCGAGUCCAUUUUCCCUUUCUAACUCCCAAACUCUCCAUAGCUUUUCCUCAACUCUACGUAGAACAUAUGCAACUUGUCCGAUUAAUUUAAACACUUGGUAUGUACUUCUUAUGAUUUGCGUGCUUUCAUUCCAACCACAGAACUCCAAGUAGUACUGAUUCUUAAUUAAGUGACAUGAGCUGGUUGGUAGCCUUAGUAACAACAGUGUAACAGCCACUUCAGUUUAAACGUGCAGUCAUUCUUAAGCCACAUAAGCCUUAGUAACAAUUCAAGCGUGUAAUUAUAUAUAUAUACACACAACUUGGGAUGUACUUCAUAUGACUUACGAUGCUUGUAUUCCAACCACAGGUCCCUAAGUACGGAUUCUUAAGUGACCCAAUGUUUUUUUUUUAUUCAUUUGAUGUGGAAUACAAAAGAAUUAAUUGAUUAAAAGAAAUUAAAUAAUCAUUAUAUUUAUAAAUUUAAUCAUUCCUUGAUUUUACUUGAAAAAUAAUAUAUUAUUGACAUAAAUGUCACUUAUCAUUUCAAGUAUUUAUAUAUAGUUUUAAAUGAAAUAAUUGUUUUUACAAGAAAAAAAAAAGAUACUUUUAUAAAAUGAAAAAAAAUUAAGGUUAAAUUUAUAAAUUUGAGUUUUUAAUGACCCUUCUAAUCAAAUACUCUAAUACAAAGUCAUCUGUUAUCAUUUCCUCUCUACAACUUCAGGUUUGUGCAUCCUGACUUUGUAGUCUCGAAUAUAGGCAUUAGAUAUCUUAUUUCUAGUCUUAGAUUUAGGUAUAAGGUUGGAAUUAUGAUAAGUGUUAAGUUUCUGGGAUUUGUUAAGGAGAUUUGCACAAUAUUUGUAGAGUUAUUAUUAUUAUUAUUAUUAUUAUUAUCUUGGUUUUUGUUUGCUUGAAUUAUUUGAUUGAUUGGUCAUACCUAGCUUUCUAGCAAGUUUGUUUCUAGUACGGUCGUUUUACCACUCUAGAGACAUGCGGGCAAGACAUAAAAGUUCUAGAUAUUCUUCGAAAUCUGUAUUGCAAUAUCAGGUUGAACAUUAAACAAAGAGAUAGUCACUGCAAUAGUAAGUGUGUGCUGACCAACGUUUUAAAAAUCCAAUCGGACCAGCUGGUCCGAUCGGUCUGACCGUUGAUCGGUCAUCAGUCCAGUUCGAUUCACCCCUUUGAACCGGCCAACCUCUGAACUGUCAUCGAACCGACGGACAGAUUGGUCCGACCAAUUUUUAUUGAACCGAACAAUUCAAAUGAAUUUUUUCCUUGGCUUCCAAAAUGAUGUCUUCCCUUUCUUCUUCGUUCUUCCAGAACGUUCUCCCCCGCCCACAGUUGACCGUGACUCAGUUGACCGUGACUCAAAAUACAUUCCAACAACUGAUGAAGAUGAGGAAGUAGAGUAUGAAUGCAAGAACAACAUUUGAACUUAACCCCAAAGAUUGAAAUUGUCUAAAUCAGAUCAAAUGAUUUACUUGUGUUGGGUGUAUCCCAAAAGCCCACAUCAAAUGGAAAAUCACCCUCACCUCCCUGGACUUGUUCCACCAUGCCAUCCAUGGUUCCCUUUGUCUCUGUUGCAGUUUGUUCGGCCCAGAGGCUUGAGAUACGCUCCCCUCCAGAGCUACAAAUCGAAAAGUCAGUUUCUUGAUCCAUUUGGGCAUGCCCAGAUAACAGGCUUUCCCACCAUGCAAUAUCAUCAUUUGGCUGUGGUAACUUGGAUGAUGGCUUACUAGAUGUACUUGUUAUUUCCACAUUAAAAUUAAGUGGGUGGCCCACUAACCUAGUAUUUAGCCGAUUAAAAGAAUACCUAAAAUAUUUAAACUGUUAUAAAGAUAUUUACCCUUUGAUGGAGUGGGUAAAUUAUUAUAAUAAUAAUAUUAUUAUUUGGAAUAAAAAACAGUUAUUCGAUCGAAUAACACGUUCAUAAUGGUUUUUGAACGUGUAUUCUUGACCCUCUUCUCUUAUCAAUAAGAUAUAUAUACAGAAACCCCUUCAUGUGCGGUGAGUGCUCUCUUCCAUCAAUUACAGAAAACAAUUCUGUGUAUUAAAGUUUGAUAAGGAGAAGAAGAGAUCAAGGAUUUAAGAUCUAUAAACUGAAGGGAAAUCUCUCAUAGCUGCGUGUUCUUCAAACGGUAUGUAAUCUAUUUUAAUUAAUGUUUUUAUUAUUUUAUUUUUCAGAGAUGAGUUUGAAUUCAAUGAUCUGGAAUAUUGUGUGUUAAUUUCUGUGUUAAAUGUCAACAAUUGGUAUCAGAGCAAGGUUGAAUUCAAAUAUUCAGAAUCAUUGUUUUAUAAAGAUUAAAUUUUGAGAUUUAUCAUCGAUUAAUUCGUCUCACUAAAAUGAAUAAAAAAAAUAAUAAUUAAACAAAAUAAAGACCAGCCUCAAUGCGUAGAAGGAAGAUUUUUAUUUUUCCUUGCAACGCCGAUUGGAGCAAUGCCGGUGAGGGGCGCUGGUUUGGCCGACUGGUUUGGCGUUAGUCCGGUGGCCGGUUUCAGGCGCCAGUCAAGGCGCCAUUGCCUGCGCCAUUGAAGGUGCCAUCUCACUGUUUUCAGGCGCCAAUCCAGGCGCCAUUGAAGGCGCCAUCUCGACGUUUUCACGCGCCAGUCUAGAUGCCAUUGCCGGCGCCAUUGAAGGUGUCGUUUCUCCAGCUUUCCGACGGCAGUGAAGGCGCCGUUUUCAGGCGCCAUCUCCAGGCAUCAGGCGCCGUUUCUCAGGCGCCAUUAGAGGCGCUGGUUGCAGGCGCCGUUUCUCAGGCACCAUUAGAGGCGCUAUUUGCAGGUGUCGUUUCCUUCUUCAAGGGCCAUUGGAGGCGCCGUUUGCAGCGCCGUUUCAGGCGCUCUUCAGGCGCCACUUUUCAGGCUCUCCAAAAGUGCCAUUUCAGGCGCUAAUCCAAAGAUCUUAAUUGAUUUAUUAUUUGAUUUGAGUCUGAACCUUUGUGAAAUUAUUAUUAUGUCUGAGGAAUGCAAGUAUUAGCUUUAGUAUAUUCAAUGAAUGCAGAUUUCUUUGAUUUUAUUAUGAUUGAUUAUUGAAUCAGAUGGUUAUUAAACAUACUAUUUCCUUGAUUUUUUAACUCAAAUAAAAGAAUUAAUUUCAUCUUGUGAAUAUUUUAUCUAAAGACAAUUUAUAAAUGUAAGGUUAACUAGUUUAGAUUAUUGCCAAAGCAACCUAAAUUAGUGAGCCUUGUAUUUAUUGAAUUGCAUAAAAGAAUAAAGGGAGACUUGUAAAAUUCUUAAUAAUUCUCUUUAUAAUUAGGAGAAUGAGACUAACCCAAAGGAGAGUCAAUUUCUGCUAAUUAUUAAUUAAUGUUUUAUUUUGUGUUGCUUAGAAAGGUAAAAUGGAUACCCAAAGGUAACAUAUAAAUGACACAAAAUAGUAAAGUAUUUUAAGCUCCCUCCAAGUGAACACUGGAUAUGUUAAAAUUUACCCAAAGGAGAAUUUUAAUGAUAUCAAUAGUUCAUUGCUAUUUAUUUUAUACUUGAGGCCUUAUUGUGAGCAUUGUUCUAUUUUGUACAGUUCCCACUUCAUUACACUCUCUUGCAUCUGGAAUGGCUGUUUUUGAUGGGUCGAACUUUUCUGAAUGGUAUGAAACAAUUCUCACUGGGCGUAUUGGAUCUUGACCUGGCUUUAAUAACGGAUAAACCUCCUGAAGCUACGGAUGACAGUACUCCGGAGCAGGUGGAACAAUUAAAAGCCUGGGCAAGAUCCAACAUACUCAGUUUUAUGUUUAUGAGAAUGAUUAUUGCCAAUAAUAUCAAGACCUCUCUCCCUCAAACCGAGUUUGCCUCGGAAUUUCUGAAAUCUGUUGAAGAGUGCUUCAAACGCGCUGAUAAGUCCCUUGCAGGCACAUUGAUGGCUGAAUUGACUACCAUGAAAUAUGAUGGUCAGAAAGGUAUUCAGCAACAUAUUUUAAACAUGACUGAAAAAGUUGCAAAGCUUAAGGCGCUAGGCAUGGGUAUGGAUGAGUCCUUCUUGGUACAGUUUGUCCUUAACUCACUUCCAUCACAGUUUGCUCCAUUCAAAAUCCACUAUAAUACUAACAGUGAUCAGUGGAACUUGAAUGAGCUCACCAGUAAAUGCAUACAAAAGGAAGUGAGAUUAAGACAAGAAGGACAUAAUCUUGCCCUUGCUGUAACUCAUGGAGUCAUGAAGAAGAAAGGAAAAUUCAGAAAAGGAAAGAAGUUUCCACCUAAGAAAAGCGGACCUGGGGAAGGUAGCCAGAGUCAUGAUGGAAAAUUCACGGUAAGUUGCUACUUUUGUGGCAAGAAAGGGCAUGUGAAGAAGGACUGUAACAAGCGUAAGGCUUGGUUCGAAAAGAGAUGUAUAAAUCUUUCUUUUGUAUGUUAUGAAUCCAAUCUUGCUGAAGUUCCUUCAAAUACUUGGUGGAUUGAUUCUGGAGCCACAACUCAUGUGACUAAUUUAAUGCAGGGAUUCUUUACAACUAGGAAACUAAAGGAAAGUGAAAAGUUCCUCGAUAUGGGAAACCGUCUCAAGGUUGAAGUGGUAGCUGUUGGUACCUAUCGCUUACUAUUAGAGACGAGUCAUCGGAUGGAUCUUUUAAACACUUUUUAUGUACCUUCUAUCUUUAGGAAUUUAGUUUCCUUGUCCAAAUUAGAUGCUACUGGAUAUUCUGUUUUAUUCAGUUUUGGACAAUUAAGUUUGUUGUUAAAUUCUGUUACAGUUGGUUCUAGUAUUUUAUGUGAUGGUUUAUAUAAAAUUUCCUUGAAUCAUGAAUUUGCACAAGCCUUGAUAACCCUGCAUUCAAAUGUUGGUUCAAAACGUGGCUUAAUUAAUGAAAAUUCUUCAAUCUUGUGGCACAGAAGACUAGGGCACAUCUCUAGGGAAAGAAUUGAGAGAUUAGUGAAGGAAGGAAUUUUACAAAAUCUUGACUUAACUGAUUUUCAUGUAUGUGUGGAUUGCAUAAAGGGAAAGCAAACUAAACAUACAAAGAAAUGUGCCACAAGAAGUAAUGAGCUUCUUGAGAUAAUUCAUAUAGAUAUUUGUGGACCACUCUCUGUUCCAUGUUUUACAGGAGAGAAAUAUUUUAUCACCUUUAUAGAUGAUCUAUCUCGUUAUGGUUAUGUUUAUCUAAUGCAUGAAAAGUCUCAGGCCAUUGACAUCUUCGAGAUGUUCAUAACAGAGGUCAAGAGACAAUUAGAUAAAAAGAUUAAAAUUGUGAGAUCAGAUCGAGGUGGUGAACAUUAUGGCAGAUAUGAUGAAUCAAGACAAAAUCCUGGUCCUUUUGCCAAAUUCCUUGAAAAGCGUGGCAUUUGUGCUCAGUACACAAUGCCUAGUACGCCACAGCAGAAUGGUGUUGCUGAAAGGCGUAAUCGCACAUUAAUGGAAAUGGUUAGGAGUAUGAUGAGUUACUCUUCUGUACCUAUUUCAUUGUGGGGUGAAGCCUUAAAAACCGCAAUGUAUAUCUUGAACAGAGUUCCUAGUAAAGCAGUUCCAAAAACUCCUUUCGAGUUAUGGACUGGUAGGAAACCUAGCUUGAGACAUAUACAUAUAUGGGGUUGUCCAGCGGAGACAAGAAUCUAUAACCCACAUGAGAAAAAUCUUGAUGCAAGAACGAUAUCUGGAUAUUUCAUUGGCUAUUCGGAUAAAUCGAAAGGGUACAAAUUUUACUGUCCUAACCACAAUGUGAGAAUAGUUGAAACCGGUAAUGCCAGAUUCUUAGAGAAUGGUGAAAUCAGUGGGAGUAAUGAACCAAGAAAGGUAGAUAUUGAGGAGAUAAGAGUGGAUAUCCCACCACCUUUUUUAACUCAAGAAAUUAUUGUCCCUCAACCUGUUCAACAAGUUGAGGAAAAUGAGCAACAUAAUAGAGAUGGUUCAUUACUACCAGAAAAUAUUGCCAUUGAAAAUGUUGUAGAGCCACCACAACCGGCACCUUAGAGGAGAUCUCAAAGAGAAAGGAGACCUGCCAUUACAGAUGAUUAUGUGGUGUAUCUACAGGAAUCUAAUUUUGAUAUUGGGAUAAGGAAGGAUCCGGUUUCGUUUUCACAAGCCAUGGAAAGUGAUGAUUCUAGUAAAUGGAUGGAAGCUAUGAAUGAAGAGUUGAAAUCUAUGGCCCAUAACGGUGUCUGGGAUCUCAUCGAAUUGCCUAAUAGUUGUAAAUCCGUCGGCUGUAAAUGGGUCUUUAAGACAAAGCGCGACGUUAAAGGCAAUAUCGAACGAUUUAAGGCCAGAUUUGUGGCCAAAGGUUUCACUCAAAAGGAAGGUAUCGAUUACAGAGAUACCUUCUCUCCAGUUUCCAAGAAAGAUUCACUUAGAAUCAUCAUGACACUUGUAGCUCAUUUUGAUUUAGAGUUACAUCAAAUGGAUGUGAAAAGUGCAUUCUUAAAUGGGAAUUUAGAUGAAGAUAUCUACAUGGAACAACCUGAAGGGUUUGCAAAGAAAGGAAAUGAACACCUAGUUUGCAAAUUAAAGAAAUCCAUUUACGGUCUUAAACAAGCUUCCAGACAAUGGUAUAUUAAGUUCAAUAAUACCAUUACAUCUUUCGGAUUUAAAGAGAACAUUGUUGAUCAGUGUAUAUAUCUGAAAGUUAGUGGGAGCAAGUUUAUAUUUCUGAUACUGUAUGUGGAUGAUAUUUUGCUUGCUAGUAGUGAUCUUGGUUUAUUACGUGAAACCAAGGAAUAUCUCUCUAAAAACUUUCAUAUGGUUGAUAUGGGUGAGGCAAACUAUGUUAUUGGCAUCGAGAUCUUUAGGGAUCGAUCUCGAGGAGUACUAGGUUUAUCUCAGAAAGGAUAUUUUGAUCGAGUUUUAGAAAGAUUUAAUAUGCUGUCAUGUUCAUCGGGUAUUGCACCUAUAUUGAAAGGUGACAAAUUAAGUAAAAUGUAGUGCCCAAAGAAUAACAUGGAAAGGGAGCAAAUGAAGAAAAUUCCUUAUGCAUCAGCUAUGGGAAGUUUGAUGUACGCUCAAACAUGUACAAGACUGGAUAUCAGCUUUGUUGUAGGCAUGUUAGGAAGAUACCAAAGUGAUCCAGGAUUCGAACACUGGAAAGCUGCAAAAAAGGCGAUGAGGUACUUACAAGGGACAAAGGAUUAUAUGCUCACAUAUAAAAGAUCAGAACAAUUAGAGGUUGUCGGUUACUCGGAUUCUGAUUAUGGUGGUUGUCUCGAUAGCUUAAAGUCAACUUCAAGAUUUGUCUUUAUGCUAGCAAAUGGGGCAAUCUCAUGGAAGAGUGAAAAACAAUCAAUUACUGCUUCAUCCACGAUGGAGGCCGAGUUUGUUGCUUGUUUUGAAGCUUCAAGUCAUGCUUUAUGGUUGCGGAAUUUUAUCUCAGGGCUUGGUGUUGUCAACUCUAUUGCUAAACCUUUAAGAAUAUAUUGUGAUAACACCGCAACUGUUUUCUUCUCUAAGAAUGACAAAUUUUCUAGUGGAUCGAAACACAUGGAUUUAAAGUAUUUAGUUGUUAAAAAAAGAGUCCAGAAACAACAAGUGUCAAUUGAAAAUAUUAGGACCACACUUAUGGUUGCUGAUCCAUUAACUAAAGGAUUACCUCCAAAGGCAUAUUUGGAACAUGUUAUGAGGAUGGGCCUUUUGACUAAUCCAUAAUAUGUAUGAUAAUGAAUGGUGGUUAUGUAAUUGACAAUUUGCGCAUUAAAAUUGUUUAUGUUUAUUCUUAUUUUCAAUUAUGGGUGCACGUUUUAUUGUUUGAUAAACAAGAAUUGUCUUGACAAGACAAAUUACAAGGGCUAUUUGGCAUUAAGGACUGAGUUAGUAAGGGUUAUUGAUGUGUGGUGCAUGGAAGGAAACAUGACAUUAUGGUUAUGUGACCGCCAUGACUCGCAUUUAUGAUCUAAACUGAUUCAGUAUUAUGGUAUAUGAUUUUGGACGUAUUGGCGAAGUUUAUUGAAAUCGUGAUCACAUGUCAAAUUUAUUUUCCAGUAUAUAUUUUAUGUAUAAAAACUAAAUAUAUUAUAGUUUUCAUAAUCGGUUUAGUGGGCCAAGUGGGAGAAUGUUAUUUCCACAUUAAAAUUAAGUGGGUGGCCCACUAACCUAGUAUUUAGCCAAUUAAAAGAAUACCUAAAAUAUUUAAACUGUUAUAAAGAUAUUUACCCUUUGAUGGAGUGGGUAAAUUAUAAUAAUAAUAAUAUUAUUAUUUGGAAUAAAAAACAGUUAUUCGAAUAACACGUUCAUAAUGGUUUUUGAACGUGUAUUUUUGACCCUCUUCUCCUAUCAAUAAGAUAUAUAUACAGAAACCCCUUCAUGUGCUGUGAGUGCUCUCUUCCAUCAAUUACAGAAAACAAUUCUGUGUAUUAAAGUUUGAUAAGGAGAAGAAGAGAUCAAGGAUUUAAGAUCUAUAAACUGAAGGGAAAUCUCUCAUAGCUGCGUGUUCUUCAAACGGUAUGUAAUCUAUUUUAAUUAAUGUUUUUAUUAUUUUAUUUUUCAGAGAUGAGUUUGAAUUCAAUGAUCUGGAAUAUUGUGUGUUAAUUUCCGUGUUAAAUGUCAACAGUACUAACUUGCAUGUCAAAAGCAUCCGUAGCUGUAGUUUUUAGUUCAAACCUUGGCGAUAAUUUGGAUAACUUGUAGGGCCGAGGCUUUAGAACUUUGGUUUUAGAAUGUGUUUGGGGUUUAUCUCUCCCUUCGUCCGGGAAGUGAACCAUCUUUUUAAAGCGGUGAGUAUGCCAGUAAUUCUUGACAUCAUUAGCAGUCCUCCCUGGAAGUCUGCCCGCGAUCAAGGACCAUCUAUACAAGCACAGCAUGCAACAGAUCAACUAUCAAGUACAAGCACCACAUGGAGGCUUUUCUAAUUUGGAAUAUAGCUUCAGAAUUGAUAUAAUAAUAUCAUGUUACCAAUAUUAUGUUCCUUUGAUGAGUCAAAGCUGGUGCCCUUCUUCCUUUCCUAUUUUUUUCCUUGGAUAAGUCAACCCUUCCCAUUCCACUUUUCUUCAGGUGUUUGGUCUAAGACUCUAAAAUCAUUUUUAAAUUUUGAUUUUCUCUAUUGAAAAUAAUAUUCAUUUUUUCCUUAUUUUUUAAAAUCUACUUAAUUAAAAAAGCAAAAUUUAUUUUUUGAAAGUACAAUUCAUUUAUUCAUUAUUUUUUCAUUUUCUUUAUUAAAAUUUUAUUUUAACAUCAUGUGUAAUUAAAUUAACAUUAAAAUAAAUUAAUUUUUAAUAUAAAAAUACAUUCAUCUAUAAUAAUUAAUAAUAUAAAAAAUAAAAAAUACUAAUAUUUUAAACAAUAUUGAUUUCAAAUAUAUAAUAUUCAUAAUAUUUUUAUAUUUAUAAUAUUUAUAAUUUUCAUAUCAUGAAUCUCAUUUUUUAUAUUUUAUAUUUUUGAACUUUUUUCUAGAAUAUUAAACCUAAAUUUUUAAAAAUAAAAAUAAAAAUAAACACCAUCCACAUGCAUAUUCUGUAUAGGUGGUAACUCAUCUUUAACUAGCUAGUUGGAAAGUAAUUUUAGAAGCAUGCAUAAGUUAUUAUUCUAAUACAUGAUUUGGAUAUUAUUUUCCCCAAUAUAUACUAUCCAUAAAACUCACUUUUUUAACUUCUUAAUUCAUCCAUAUUUUUAAAAUAAAGGACCUUUACAUGAUUCCCCAAAGUUUUUUUAUUGCAAUGCCGCAUUGCUUGGCUUCCAAAUAUACUGAAGUUCAUGGACAAGGAGUAUUGUUCAUAGGAGAUGACAAUUGGCAAGUAGUACAAUUAUUAACUCUCUACGUAAAUUUACUGUUAAGAUACAGUCCAAAUGCAGCCUAGGAAUUGCUAAACAUGUGGUUCAAAUGCAUAUCUUGGAUAGGGUUCAGGCAUCCUGUUAUUAUGACAAAUACAGCCAUGAUCUUCUAACAAAGCUGAGAUUGUGAUCGCUUUUAGGCAUCCUGUUCAUCUUGUAUUUGGGAUUCCAUCAAUUAAUUUCUUAGGAGUUCAAUCAUGCACUAAUUCUUUGAUAAAUAGGAAGAACGAAAAAUACAAAAUAAUUUAAUAAAAUAAACAUUUUCUUUAUUUUUAUUAGAUUCCUGCAUUUGAACUCCUGAAGAAUUCUAUUUAAUAAAAGAAAGAUAUAAUUUGAAACUCCAGACAAGUUUUAAGCAACAAAUUCUCAAUCCAUUUCAAAGGACACUGACACGGACCUCAACCACUACCAUUUAUAGCUGCACGAGUUAUGUUUAAGUUGGGACUUCUAAUUUUAAAAUUAGUGGGAUUGAAACACGUAGAGGAGCAAAAAAAAAUAAAGAAAAAGGAGAAGAUUUUAGCAAGGUUUAAUAAUUAGUGUGAUUUUUACGUUUACAAAGCACAUCAACACUAAAGAAUUCGUUAAUUAAACAAAGAAAUCCCGAGCACUGUAUUGAAAAUUUUGACAAAAACAUUUAAAAGACAACCAACAAAAAUCAAGAAAGCAACAUUACAUCACAAAGGUAUCGAAAAUUUUGAUACAUGAAAUAUUAGCUAGCAUAGGUUGAGCACAACUAUAUAUUUAAUAGAAUGACUUAAAAGUGUUUUCAAAGUCAAAUAUUCUAAUUGGGCUCGCUGUGAUGGGAGCUCAUUUUUUUUUCUUUCUUCAAUAAGCUAUGUAUUGGAUCCCAUGGGUGGACCAUCAAGGAUACUCUCCCCGAGUGAUUUAUCGUUUGGUUAUUACAAUUCUCAACCAUUAUUUUAUAUUUUUCUUUUUUAAAUUAAUCCUUAUACCAUCAAUUUUCACCAUUGCUUUCAUUUUCAAAAUCUAGUUUCUAAACUUUUUGUAUUGCACCAUCUUCAAUCCUUAAAAUGAAUUCUUGUGAUUUGAUAUUUAGCUCACCAAGUUCAAAUAUUACUUGUAAUUGACAACCCUAUGCUCAAAGUGAAUACCAUGCAUUAUGGAUGUUCAACCAAAAUUUUUAUGUUAUUAUUGGGGGAGCUUUUCUUUUUUUUUUCGCAAAUAAUAUGGAUUCAAAUAUACCAUAUUAAUUGUGCCUAGCAAUUUGUUCAGAUUUAUCCUUGGAUCUAUCAACAAUUUUAAAUGUCCUAAAUAAAAGGGUUUUGUUUUAAGGGACAGGUAGAUAAAUUGAAAUGAUUCUAAAUGCAGUGCGGAAAUUAUAGUCAACGGCAACCACGCGGGUGUCCUUGUCAAUAAUGCAGCAAGCGUACGUGUCGUCACCCUGUGCGGGAUUGGUACCAUGUGGGUGUCCUUGUCAAUCAAAGCCCAUCCUGCUGCCUCCUGUGCACCAUCUUGUACCAAUCCCCGUCUUAUGCAUGGUUGCAAAUUGUUGAGACGAUGACAUAUGAGACUGAUCAUUUAUUUAUCAUCAUUUUUCAAUGAAGGUACUAUUAUUAGGCUAUUGCUCUGGCCCAUGAAGUAUUUUGCCUCUCGCAAUAUUCUUUUCUCCACAAAAUAGCUAGAGAACUACGAGAUAUAUGGUAUUGCUACUUGACAAAAACAUUUUAAGUUCUUUUUCUGCUAUCUAUUUAAUGCUGGGUUCGUAUUCUCAGCCACCCAUCCCCUGCUUCUUUUUGAGUGAGUGAGAGAGAUCGGUCAGCGUCAUUAGAUUGGAUGAGUAUGGGCUUACUAGGAUCAACAAAAUGUGUGGUACCUGUUGGUUCCUGCUCAAUAAUGACCCUUUAAGCAGCCGCCCCAGCGCCUCCAAUUUUUUAAGCAGAAAAUUGUGUUUUCAACCCUUAUAAUUUGAUAAUUAAGAUAAAAUUAGAAUGGAUGAAGAGUUUUUAUUUUAAGUACUCAAUUAAAAUAUUUUUAAAUAAUUUAAUUUUAGAAGUGGAUUAUAUCAAUACAUAGUAUAAAUUGAAUUUUUCUUAUAUAAAAGGAUUGAAAGGUAUAUUUACUUAUUUUAGAUGAAAACAAGUAGUUAAAAAUUAUAUAGAUUACAUUUGAGUUUGGUUUUAAAAUAUUUUUCUAGUCUUUAUUUUUUUAUUUUUAAAAAUAAUUUUUAUUUUUUAUAUUGCCUCUUUUUGAAAAUAGCAUUUAAUUAAAAAACUGAAAACUAUUUUUAAAAAUGAAAAUUGAAAACCUUGUUUAGCAUUAUUUUUUUAUAUGAAAAUAAAAAUAAAUAAAUUUAUUUAUUCAUUUAUGUGAAACCAAGGUUUGGUUGUGAAACCAAGGUUUGGUUAAUCUUGAUUUUGAUGAUAACAAAACAAGGUUUAGAACUAAUGAUCAUAUUUCAAGUGUGAUUAGGCAAGACGACUUCCAAAGUGGCAAUCCAAAAACAAAUCAAGCCAAGGAGAAAUCAUGAAGAAGAAGACCACCUCAAAGAGAAGAGUUUUUUCAAGACCAAAACUUCUUAAGAUCUCCUUGUAAAGUUGUUGGUGCACUAGGACUUUCAUGCAUUUCAUUCUUUAUUUAUGCACCAAAAUCAUCUAAGAGUAAUAUUGUUUUAAAUAUCUUAAGAAUCGGAUGAUUUCAUGUUUUCAACUAAAACCUUGUGUUAAAUGAUUUUCAAACUUGUGUUAAAAUGUUUUAAGUUGAAAAAGGUUGAGUGUUGAGCCAAAAAAAAUGGCUCAACCGGUUCAAACCGUCGACCGGUUGUGCUCGUCCGGUCAAGGACCGGUUGAGGGAGGCCAAAAAGUUUUUCUCUCUCCUAGUGGCUUUCUCUUCCCGGUCAAGGUUGAACCUCAACCGGUUGAAGUCCGAUUGAGGCCCAACGGUCACUUUUCCUAACGGCUAGUCAACCGGUCGAACCCCCAAUGGCUAGUUUGGCUUUUUUCUUCUAUAAAAAGGCUUCAAUCUUCAUUGUUUUACAAGCUUAACCUUCCUAAAUCAUUCUUGAUUAUAUUUGAGCCUUGGAAGAGUGUUUUUGAGUGCACCAUUGUUUCAUAACUUGCAUAUCUUUAGUGCACCAUUCAAUCCUAAUUUUUCUUGUAUCUUUGAGUUUAAAGUUCUAUUACUAGGAUUUUUGUGAGAUCAUUAUUUGUAUAUCUUUGUGAGGAAUUUUCUCAAGUGAGGGGUAUCACUUGAGAGGUUGUUCAAGAGAGGGACAUCUCUUGAAGAAGUGUAAAGGGUGCUUAGAGCCAAAAGUCCAAGAGGGUGAAUUGGAACCAUAAUCCAAUUGUAAAGAGAUUGGAAGCUUGGUUGAAGCUUCAAGAUAGUGGAACCCUCACUCGGUUAGGAGGUUGAGGAGAGUGGACGUAGGCAAGGAAGUGCCGAACCACUAUAAACUCUCGUGUUUGCACUCUCUCUUCCCUAACUCUUUUAAAUUAUAUGCAAUUAUCUUUAUUUUGUUUAUUAUAUACUUGCAUAUAAUUGUCUCUUAUUUUUGCAUAGUUUAAAUUUGUGAAAAAGAGACCAUCACCCCAUUUACCCCCCCCCCCCCUCUAGGGUGAUUACCAUAGUUUGGAUUAGCCUCAAAUUCCUAACAAUUUAUUGUGUUACUAUACAAUUGUAUUACACUAAUCGUACAAGGGAAAUGUACUAAGUGUACAAAAGUGGACAAGGAUACCAUUUGUGAAAUAUUAUAAUUGAUUAUGAGUCAUUCCUUUAUUUUUCUUAUCACUCAUGUAUUGUCCACGUAUGUCAUGCACUUUAUUUAAUUCCUACAUGGAAAUUCUAAUACUUUUCCCAAUAAUGAUAUUUGGGGAAAAAAAUUUUGACCUUAAGUCAUCCACCAUCUUCUCAACUAAACCAUUGAAAAUAUGAUUAAACACUCCUACAUAUACACAUAAUUUAAGAGGGAUAUGAAAUUUGUGUUAUUAUACAAGGGUAUUACACUAACUGUACAGGGGAAAUGUACUAAUUGUACAAAGGUGCACAAGAUUACCUUUUGUAAAUGAUUUUAAUCAAUUCUAAACCACUUUUUUAUUUUCUCUAUCACUCAAGGAUUGUACACAUAUGUUAUGCACUUUAUUUAACUCUCACAUGAAAAUUCAAAUAUUUUCCCCAAUAAUGAUAUCUGGGGAAAAAAAAUUGAUCCUAAGUUAUUCACUAUUUUUUCAAUCAAACCAUUGAAAAUAUGAUUAAUACAUCUAUAUGGACAUAUAACUUAUGGGGGAUAUGAAAUUUGUGUCAUUGUACAAGAGUAUUACACUAAUUAUAUAAGGGAAAUAUGCUAAGUGUACAAGUGUACAAGGCUCCUAAUAGGUUUUGUACGAUUUUUAAACAACUUGAGUUUGACAUUAAGAUGAUUAUUGAUAGUUUUGUUUUGUUUUUUUUACCAAACUAUGUCAUUAAGACAUUCCUUACAAAAAUUAACACAUAGGAAAUAAAAUUAAAAUAAAUCAUAUUUGAAUUGUUCAUUAUAAGUAAACUAAAUGAAAUAUAUUUUUUUACUAUUUUGCCUUUAUAAACAUAAUUUUAUUGUUAUCAAUAGAGUUUAAAAAAUCAUAUUUAAAUGGAAUUAAAAAUAAACAAAAAUUAUUUUUAUAACAUUUUUUAUUUUUUUAAAUCAUUAAUUUAAAUUAUGAAAUUAGUUUUAAAAUUAAAAAUAUUUGUUGUAAUUAUAGUUUUGAAGAUUUCAUGAUUUUUAUCUUAUUACUUUGAAAAAAUUGCUUUAAGAAGAAAGUAUUUAUUUUAAUGGUUUUAAAUAUUUAAAUCUUUAUUAAAAAAUAUUUAGGAUUAGUGUGGAGAGCAAUUAGGUAAUUUUGGAAUGGAGAAAUUUUGAAUACUUUGAAAACUUUAAUUCGGCCAAUUACCUUAUUUACACUUUUAAAAUUAUUGGAAGGUUGGUAAAUUAGUCUUAGAAAUAUUGUCUUCUUGAUUAAUAUUAUAUAUAUAUGCAUGUGAGUGUUUACAUUAUUUUCGAAAUAAUAUGAGAAAUAAUAAACAACAUGUGUCUAAUUUGCAAGUUAGAAAAAAAAAUUAAUAAUACUUUAUGAGGUAUUUAAAAAGUAUUUAUUAUAUGUUCUAUAAAUUUGAAAAAAAAAUAUUCAUAAUAUCUAAUUUACAAGUUAGAACAAACAAAUAAUACUAAUAUUUUAUGAGGUGUUUAAAAAUUAUUUAAUAUAUAUGAGAAAUAAUAUAAGUUUGAAAAAAUAAUAAUAUUUGAUGAGGUAUUUAAAAGUUAUUCACUUCAAAAAUGUAUUUGACAAUAAUAAUUUUUAACUAUCUUUCAUAUUCAAUUUGAUGAAGAAAAAUGAUUCAACUUAGUUCCACUAUUAAAUAGGUGAGAAAAUGGUAAAAGAGUUAAAGAGGGAAUGAGAAAGGUAAAGUGAUUGGUUAGUUUUUUCAUUUAAUAGUUAAGGGUAUUUUGGGGAUUUUUUUUAAAGACAAUAUCCUUCCUUUCGAUUUCUACUAUUUCAUUGGGUUUUAAGUUUAAUUAUGAGUGAUAUUAUGACCUUACCUCAAUUACCCAAUUUAGCUGGCUGAAAACACAAUUCUCCAUUUUUUAUGAUUCUGCAAAAAGAUAUGUUUGGAUUUGUUUGGGCAAAUCUCUCCCAUGGCCAAGGCAACUUACAGGAUUUUUGAGGAAUAGAUUUAUGAGGGACCUAUUCUUUAUAUCUGCAUUUCUUGUCACAUUGUGAUUAUAUACGCCGAGCUUUAUAAUUUCCUUCAGGUCAUUAUAACUCCUUUUUAUCUUCACAUUUAGGACAUGUUUGGUACUUGGGAUGAGAAGUGGGAAUGAUCCUGUCAUCUCUUCCCAUGUUUGGAUGAUUCAAAUAUUAAUAGGAAUGGAAUUAAGAACGAUUCCAAAUAUAAUGAAAUCGAGUUGUAAGUGGGAUAUCAAUUCGUUAUUAGGAUGAUGUAUUUUGAUUCUUUAGUACAAGUUAUUUUUAAAAAUAUUUUUCAAAAAUUAAAAAACCAAAAUCUUUUUUUGGAUAAAUUGUUUUUAAAAAUAAAAUUUUAUUUUAUAUUGUAAAAUACAAUUUGUAAAUUCAAUUUAUAUAAUAUAAAUUAAAUUUAAUUCAAGUCUUAUUAAAAAUAAAAAUAUAUUUAAAUUUAUAAAUAAAUUAAAAAUUAAAUACUUCUUUAAUAAAAUUUUAAUAUUAAUAUUAUAAUAAAACCAUAAAUCAUAUAUAUAUAUAUAUAUAUAUAAUUGAAUAUCAACAUCUUAUAAAAGCAUAAUUAAUUUAUUUUAUUAAAAAUAAAUAAUAAUAAUUCAAAAUUAAUAACUUUUAAUACUAUUUUAUUUUAAAUGAAUUUAAAAACAAAUAAAGUUUAAUUUUUUAAAAGUAUAAAUGAGCUAAAUUUUUCAUUACAUUAGUAUAUACAUUUAUUACUCAAUUAUCGACAUGGUACUCUAAAUUUUUUUAUUUAAUUUAUAAUUAAUUAAUCAUUUUUUUAUUUCAAAUCAUUCUUACAAAUUAAAAGAUUCAUUAAAGAAUUUAAGUCUAUUAUUUUUUAUACUCAUUAUAUAUAGUUUUUGAGUUUCAUAUUAGCUUUAAAAAUUAUUAAAUUUAUUAAUAAAUUUAAUACAAAGUUUUGCUUGGUUUGAAAUCCAUUUCUCUAAUAAAAAGAACUCAGCAAAACAAUUCAUUAUUUUAUGUUUUUUUUUUCAAAAAAUAGAAAAAAAAUUACUUUUAGAUAACAAUAGCCAAAUAAUUAUAUAAUUUUUUUUUAAAAUUAUUAUUUUUAAAUCAUACGUCUCAAAUAGGUUUUCUAUUAUUUAGCCAAAAAAAACUCUUAAAGGUGUCUUUUAAAUAAAAAUUAAAAAUUAAUUUUAAUUAUGUAUAAAGUGAGAGGUUUUAUAAUGAAAAUAAAAAAUAUUUUAAACUAAAUAUACAAAUAUUACUAUCAAUUUAUUUCUUUUUUCAUUUUCAUUCUCGUACGUAUUUGGUAUGCGAGAAUAAGGAGUGGGAAUGAAUAUCUCAGUCAUUUUUUCUUUUAUUUCUAUAUUUGGAUAACUUAUAAAUAAUGAUGAGGAUGGAAUCAAAAGCGAUUGCAAUGAGAAUUAAAUCUCACUUAUAAGUGAGUUUUCAAUUCAUUUGAUUAUGAGGUAUUUUGAUUCCUUAAUGUAAGUUAUUUUUAAAAAUACUUUUUAAAAGUAAAAAAAAAAAAACAAAGGACUUUUUUAGAUAAGUUAUUUUUAAAAACAUUUUUUAUUUUGAUUUUAUAAAAAACACAGAUUAUAAAUUCAAUUUAUACAAUAUAAACUAAAUUUAAUUCAUGUCUGGUUAAAAAAAAAAACAAAUUUUUUAGUUACAAAUAAAUUUAAAAUAAAUAAUUUUUAAUAAAAUAUGAGAUGUUCAUUCCCGCUCCUACCAGUACCAAACAUGUCCUGAAAGUAGGUCUCUUCCAAGGCCCUUGGUUAGGAAAUCGACCAAAUUUUCUUUGGACUUGGACAUAUUCUAAAGCCACUGUCCCAUUAGAGAUGAGUCUUUUUACAUAUUUCCCAUUAAAGAUCUCACUAUAUACUCUGAGCAUUGCGGCAUGAUUUUCAUACCACACAAUGAUGGUUGACUCUGCCUUAUUCCAUAUCGGUACUUCUUCUGAUAUAUUCCUUAGCCACUUAGCUUUCUCUCCAGUAAAUGAGAGGGCCAUGAACUCAUACGGAAUUGUGGAAUGAAACCUUUUCUUGUAACCGUGGGAAUAUAUGAGCAUGGAUUUUGUACUAAGGUUGCCUAGACCACAAUGUAGGGUUGACACAAUUUUUGUGGCGUUAGAUCACUUCUCCAAGAUAGCUCACUUUAUUCCUUAUGAGAAUACCAUUGAUGCCUCACAAGUUUCUCAAUUGUUUUUCAAAGACACAGUUCGACUUCUUGAAGUUCCUUGGACCAACAGGUGACACAAGAUUCAUGAAUCAAUUUUGGCACACUCAAUUUAUAAGGACUAAACUACAAUUUUCAAGCACUUGCCAUCCAUAAACUGAUGGACAAUCAGAGAUGGUGAAUCAAACUUUGGGAAAUUUGCUAAGGAGUCCUACUGGUGGCAACCAUGAAAAGAAUAUGUUUUUUUUUCCUCAAUCAGAAGUCCUCUCUCUUGGUUUUUGUUUUUCUUCCUAAAACGACAGUCAAUACUUUUAUGUUGUGAAAAAAAUGAUUCUUAUAUUUAUAGUUUCAUUCAUGACUUGAAAUAAGAAAAUUGAUCAGUAAAACAACCAAUCAGGAUUCUUGGACAUCUUAAAAGGUAAUUCUGAAAACCUUAUUUUACAUCCGAGAUGGUUUAUGGAAAGAGUCAAAUUCAUAAUUUUAAUCAUUCACAUGUUCUAAAUCUAUGGAAGUGUAGCACGGAGGCUGAAGAACUUGCUAGUUAUGUUCUAAAUCUGAAGAGGUGAUUGGGUGAGGGUUUACUUAAGAAGGGAGUGUUUUAUACUAGGCACUUAUCACAAGCUCCAAUGCAAGAAUUUGAGUUUUGUCAGUGAACUACUACAGCUCAAGAUGCAAUUACGGUCAUUAAGAAAAGAAUCUAUGACAAUGAGUGAUUACUUUGCUAAGAUGGACGAUAUUGCAGAUCAAUGUGCAAUGGCUGGUUGUUUUGUCAGUGAUGAAGAUUUGGUACUUUAUAUUUUAGCAAGUCUCGGAUCAGAAUAUGAUCCACUUGUAUGCAGCAUUACCACCUGUAAUAGUACUGAUCAUCUUUCUCUAAAGGGGAUUCAUGCUCUUCUACUCAAUCACGAAAGUAUAAUUGAGCAAUUGUAUGCAACUAAUUCAGAUUCACACCAUUUAUUUGCCAAUUUUGCUGCUCAUAAAAAUGGAGGAAAUCAUGGUCGUGGAAAAGGAAAUUUGAACCCUCAAGGUCGAGGUAGAGGAAGAAAUGGAGGUUUUUCUAGUAGAGGCAAUGGCAAUAAACCUAUUUACCAAAUUUUUGGUAAAAAAGGACACAUAACCCUCACUUGUUGGCAUAGAAUGGAUGAGAACUUUCAGUCUACAUCAUCCGUUACUAGCAGCAACAAUUAUAAGACAACAGUCUACAUGGCCACACUAGAUACAAUGAUUGAUUCAAUGCAGACUUACUUCCGGUAGCUUUUGCCAUAACUUCUAGCAUCCAAUUUGGGUUACCAAAACCACCUCAAACCCCACUCUCAGAUGUUCAUACCUCACCUACCUCACAACCAUCUAUGUCUUUAUCUGCUCAUGCUCCAACUCCAUGUCACCCCAUGAUUACCCGAGCCAAAGCUGGCAUUUUUAAACCAAAAGUGUAUGCUGCCCUCAAACAUCCCUUGAGUUUCUCACAUGGUCCUAUUGAACCUAUGUGUGUAAAGCAAGCUCUUGCUUAUCCAAAUUGGAAGAUAUCAAUGGAAGAAGAAUACAAGGCUUUAAUGAGGAAUCACAUAUGGGACUUGGUACCUUAUCAGCCCCAAUAUAAUGUAGUGGGCAAUAAAUGGGUGUUUAAGUUGAAGUUUCACCCAGAUGGCACUCUUAAUAAACAUAAAGCUAGGUUUGUUGCCAAGAAAUUCCAUCAAACCCCAGGUGUGGAUUUUUCAAUAACUUAUAGUCCUGUGAUUAAACCUGCCACAAUUAGAGUUGUACUAACUCUAACAAUUGCUCAAGGAUGGGAAAUUAGGCAACUGGACAUAAAUAAUGCUUUUCUCAAUAGAUAUCUGCAAGAAGAUGUGUUUAUGUCUCAACCUGAAGGUUUCAUUCAUCCUACCAAGCCUCAUCAUAUUUUCAAACCGAGGAAAGCUCUCUAUGGUUUGAAAUGGGCUCUAAGGGUCUAGUUUGAUAAACUUAAAGAUGCAUUAUUGCAGUGGGGUUUUCAAGAUUCAAAGUCUGAUGUAUCUUUGUUCCUAUAUAAGACCAAAGGAAUCAUACUCAUGCUAUUGGUAUAAGUAGAUGACAUCUUGAUUACCGGAAAUAAUAGCAUAGUAAUUUCGGACUUGGUUCAUGACCUCAAUAAGAGUUUUCUUCUAAAGGAUGUUGGUUCAUUACAUUACUUCCUAGGAAUUGAAGCCUUUCGAGAUGAAACAGGUCUCUAUUUAACUCAUUCAAAAUACAUUGCCGACCUGCUUCAAAAGACAAAUAUGGAUACAAUAAAGCCCUUACCAACACUAGCUAUUUUUGGAAAAGUGUACUCCAAAUCAAGUAGUGAUCUAGGGAUAAUCCAAUCAUGUAUAGAAGCAUAGUUGGAGCCUUGCAAUAUGUUACAAUCACAAGACCUGAUAUAUCAUACAUGGUUAGUAAGUUGAGUCAGUUCUUACAAAGUCCAACAGAGAUACUUUGGAGAGCUUGUAAAAGAGUAUUACGAUAUUUGAAAGGAACUAUCACUCAUGGUUUGCAUUUCCAGCCAAACCAAUCUUUAAAUCUUGUGGGUUUCAUAUAUGCAGACUAGGAUAGCUGUCCAGAUGAUGGAAGAUCAACAAGUGGUUAUUGUGUGUAUCUAGGAGGUGAUCUUAUUUCUUGGAGCUCAAAGAAAUAAAGUGUUGUUGCUAGGUCUAGCACCAAAUCAGAAUAUCGAGGCUUAGCUCAUGUGACAGUUGAGGUGAUUUGGCUCAAGUCCCUAGCAACAAAAUUGGCCCUUCAAUUGAGAUUAAGACUGGCAAUCUAAUGUGAUAACCAAGGAGCCGCCUCACUAGCUGCUAAUCCCGUUUAUCAUGCUAGAACUAAGCAUAUUGAAAUUGAUAUACAUUUCAUUUGUGAUAAAGUACUUAAAAAAGAAUUGGAUAUAUGGUUUGUACCCUUAGUAGAUCAAAUAGUUGAUUUGUUUACAAAACCACUUUCAAUCACUCGAUUCUUGAAACUUAAGGCCAAACUCCAGGUGAAAGAAUCCUUCUUUUGUUUGAAGGGGCGUGUAACGACAAAUAGUGCACAACUGAAGAACAUAAUUGCAACAGCUUCAGCCAUGUCAUCCUCUCCGGAAGCUUCUGCCAUGUCAACUAUUAGCUAAAGAUUUGUUAGAUUCUAUUUUUGAUUAGUUAGCAUUAGCAAAUUAGUUAGCAAUAGAUUAGUAAGCAAAAUAGAACACUCUGCUUUUGUAUAUAUAUAAGUAGAAUAGAACCAACCUCUGUUUCAAGUAAUGAGAAACAUAAAUAGUUUUCUUCACACAUAGGAUUUGUUAUUUUUAUUUUUCUAAAAAUGUUAUAUAUUAAAGGAGACAUAAUAUUUACGGGGUUCUAUAAGAAUGUGUUAUCUAGAUCCUCAAAUAAUGAUUAAUCCAUUAAUUUUCAAAUCAAAACUACAAAGUAAAUUAAGAGAGCUUUCUCCACAUAAAUUGGUUAAAGCCUUUAAGAUUGGCAAAAACCACAAAGAUGGACUAAAGUUAUUCUAACAACUCUACCUAAAGUCAUUCUCACACACUCAAGCCACACUCUAACCAAAGGAAUUAGACUUCUUACUAGGACCACAAACCUUCAGAAAACCAAUUCCUACUCUUUGUAGUACAAAGACUCCUAACAUGUAACAAAUUAAUUAUCAAAUCAUAAUCCUUUAGGACAAAGAUUCCUAAAAUACAUCAAGUUUUUAAUUUUGUUAAAAAACAAUAAAUCUUUACCUUAAACAAAUUUUAAAUUUUCUUCCAACUUUCCAAAUUCAAAACAUUCUUUGAUAAGCGAACACUUACAUAUAUAAUCAGAAUAGUGCAAUUAUAAAGAUGUCUUAUGCGUGGAAUAUUGAAGCCAAGUCAACUGAAAUGUUGAUACUGGGUCAACUGAAGGUAGCUUCUCCAUUGGUUGUGAUAGUGGAAGCUUCUUCCCAACAACUGGAGACUGGGUCGACUUCUCCCUUACACAAAGGAUGUUCGGACAGGUUGUCCGAGCACACUCUCCGAAGCUCAAGUCAGGCACCAAAUGGAUAGGAACCUUUAGAAAGGAGAGUAAAUAGGGGAACCCUCUAGUCUUGCGUACCUGGGCUCUGUUUUAAGAGGAUUUUUAUUGUGCUCAAGGGGAAAAGCACUGUAGUGCUAAGUUGGCACCUUGACCUAAUCUGUAAUAAUGGAAGUGAAGAGAUAGAGGGUUAUGAGGAUAGGCUUUGAGAAAAAAAGUUAACGAUGUUUCAUAAUUGAGAACCUGGGUGGGCAUUCUAUUUAUUAGAUAACAUAGUAAGAACAACAUUCCCUUAGAGGUAUUUUGACAUAUUAUUUGUGAAUAUAAUGGCUCUAGCUACUUCUAGAAGGUGGUGAUCCUUUCUUUCAACAAUGUAAUUUUGUUGUGGGGUUAUUAUGUAGGAGAUUUGAUGAAUAAUGCCUUUCUUAGAGAGAGAACUUCCUAGAAUAGAUUUAAAAUAUUCUUUUUCGUUGUCUAUUUUGAGAAUUUUAAUGUUCGCAAUGUAUUGGGUGUUAAUCAUGACAUAAAAUUUUUUGAACACUCACUCUAGUUCUGAUUUUUCUUUCAAAAGAUAUACCCAACAAACCCAAGCGUGAUCAUCAAUAAAUGUGAUAAAUCAUUUUUUUUCAUUAAAUGUUUAACUCGUGAAGGGCCUUAAAUAUUACUAUGGACUAAUGAAAAAGAUGAUGAAGACUUAUUUUUUAGGAGAAUAAAUGAAAUGAACAUGCUUGGCUAAGUGACAAAUUUCACAUUCAAAGAAAUCUCCAUUAUGAAAUAGUGAUGGAAACAAAGUUCAUAAAUAUGAAAAGCUUAGGUGGCUUAGUCUAUGAUGGCACAACAUUAUUUUUUGUUCUUUAGAAAGAGACUUACAACUCACAGUUUGAGCUUGUUUAUUCAAUUCGACUUCCUUCUCAAAAUAAUAUAACCCCUCAUGUUCUUUAGCAUUGCCAAUCUUCUUCCCCUAAAUCAGGUCUUGAAACACAGAAGAAGACUCAAAGAAAUGAGCACCACACUUUAAAUCUUUAGUCAACUUACUAAUAGAAAGAAGGUUGCAAGACAAAUUUGGAACAUGCAAUACAAAGUGUGGUUCAAUAUUAGGACCAAUUCUAAUAGCUCUAGUUCUACCACUGGUGAAAGAGAUCUUUCUCCUAUUUUAUCUUUGAAACUUCCUAAACUAGGAUUAUAUGAUGAGAAAAUUUUUCAUAGCCCAUCAUGUGAUCUAUGGCUCUAGAGUCAAUCACUCAUGGUUCCAGAUCCCUACUACAACUACUAAGAGCUAAGAAAAAAUUACCUCCAUAUGCUAGUAAUAAAGUAGUGGUGUCCUGUGAUGGUUUGAGUAGUUUGUACAAUUUUUUCAUUUUUCCUUUGGUAAGCAAGAACUAUGUACGUUCUCCAAAUUUUACCUCAAGCUAGGACCCGAUUUGUUAGAAAUCUCAGCUAAAAUUUGAAAACCAGAGUGAUCUCGAUUUCCAACCCUACUGUCCUUUGAAUUUGGUGGCUUACCAUGUAACUUCUUGUAGCAAUCUUUAGUGUGAUUUGUUUUCUUAUAGAAAUCACACCAAAGAUUGUUUAUCUUUUACUUCUUAGGGCAUUCUUAACCACAAACUUUGAAACUUCAGGUAAUGAUGGUUUUGAUCCACCUAUCAUAACCCAUUUUCGGCUUGACUCUCUUUGAACUUCAACAAAUAUUUAAGUAAUCAAUGGGAAAGGUUUGAUUCCUAGAAGUCAACCCCUGACUUCAUCAAGAUCAGGAUUUAAUCCUACCAAAAAAUAUCAGACUCGUUCUGUUUUAACCUACUUUUUGUAAAGUUUAGCAUCCUUAGGAUUUGACCAUGGAAUUUGGACAUAAAGAUCAAUUAAUUUAUUGCCACAAGUGAGUCAAGGCAUUGAAUUAUUAGGUAACAUCCAACUCCCCUAGUUUCAAAUCACGGGCUCCAUUUCCAAGUUAAAAAAAUUGGGUUAAGUUUUCCAUGUCUAAGCAUGCUAAAGUUUGUGCAUCCCACAUCUCCUUAGCAAUGGAAUAAUAUAAGAUAAGAUUCCUUGAUAUCUUAUUUCAUGGAGUUCACAAUCAAUGCCAUAACCAUAGAGUUUCGUGCAUCCCAUGUUGGAAAAGAGAGAUUUCUUGGAUUAUGUUUUAUUAUUGAACCAUCCACAUAUAACUAAGGUGGUCUCAUCCUCAUAUCACCAUUAGAGCAUACGGAGACCAUUGAAGGAAACUUUGAUUAUUUAGUUUCGUGGUUGUAAUUUGAAGCGGAGAAUUUUCAAAAAAAAAGUUGAAAACGAGGCUAUAGUGGAUGAACUUGUAGGGAUGGGUUGAGAGACUUUUGAAAAGACCUCAAAACUAGCAUCCUUGCACUCACCAGUGAAGGUUGUUCUAUACAUCUUUUUGUCUCAACUGAUACUAGCUCUGAUACCAUGAAAUUGGGUAAGAAAAAAAAAAACAGACCGUAAAUUGGAGAUUGCUUUUGUUUUAUUAUUUUAUUUCUUCAAUACAAGUAGAUUUAUAGGAUAGGUUUUGUAACAACCAACCCUUUAUUUUAAGAGAUUGACACCAGCUAUUUUUUAGGAUAUUCUAAUCAACUAUAAUAUCACAACUAGCAAUUAUCCUUAUUUAGAGAAUAGUAAUUAUCCAAGAUUCUCUAUAAUCUAUUUCCUACUUACCCUUGGAUCUCUAUUUUCUUUACAAGAUGCCAACUAGUGGAGGAGCUUUUAGGAUAACAUUUUGGGACCUAUAAAAGCCCUCAUAUCCGUUAGAAAUGGAACUUUGGGUUAUUAGGGAGAAGGAAAGAAGUUGAGUUUCAUCUAGCAUCUCUAUUAACUCCUGUCUUUUCUUAAGCUUAGUAAUUUUUCGUUGCAUUAUUCAUAAGUAACUAGCCUUUGAUUUUAGUCUUAUUCCUCAAAGUUUUUUUUAGAGAUUUUGAGAACUUUAUGUUUCAUCAUGAUGUUGAUUUUAAUUGUAGAUUCUAAGAUGGUUUUCUUUGUUCUUCUAGUUUUGAGUUGUGAGUAGUUUUCUAAGCUUGAGAGGAGGAGUCCAUGAGACUUCUUUCAUGAAAAACUAAUUUACAUCAUGGGGUGAAUGGAUAGUGUUUCUACCUAGUAAUUGGAGUCCUUAUUUUGUUUGGGAAGAAACCCUAUUUUCCUCUUCUUGAAAUGGAAACUUAGAGGUGGUUUAUUUUAGUUUAUUUAUUUAAUUUUUUUUUUUUGGUUACUUCAAGUUCUUGAGGAUCUUAGGACUUUUGACUUGAAAUCACUUCCAUUAAGCUUUAUGUAAAAUGCAAAAUGAACUUAAAGAUUACAAUGUUGUGGAGGUAUUUAAAUAAAAUUUCUUUUGAGCUUUAGUUGGUAAUUUCUCACAAGUGUUUUCAGUUGUAGGUUUUUUUAUUGUGCAUUGGUUGUGAAAAUGAGCCUCAUUAGACUCCGAUCCUUAGCAUUUAAAUUUCUCUUUUAGCUAUAAAAUGGUAGGUUCAAGUGUCAAAAUUUUGUUAUUUUCUAUUUUUUUUUUCAUCAUAAAAUGUGAUUGUUCAGUGAUAUUCCAAUUUGGUCACAAACACUUAAUUUUUUUUGCGAAGAAACAGAAGAUUCAUAGAUCACAACUUUUAGUGAUGAGCUUUUAUUUACAAAUUUCAUGACAAAUUUUUUUAAAUAGUGGUGAUUUAUUAUUUAUUUAUGACAAAUACUUUCAUGACAAAAAUUGAUACUUGUUGUAGUGAGGUAUUUAAAUAAAAUUUCUUUUAGGCUUUAGUUGGGGAUUACUAAUGAGUGUUCUCAGUCCUUGGUUUUUUAUUGUGCAUUGGUUUUUAAAGAUGAAGCCUUAUUGGACCCCCAAUCCUUGGUAUUUAAAUUAAUUUGUUUUUUGCAUAGAUACAAAAUCAAUUUUCUUCUAUUUCUCAAAAUAUUUUUGGAGGUUCUCUAAUUUAUUAACCUCAUAUUAAACAAGCCUCUUUCAACCACUUAUUCAAGAGAAAAUCAUUCCCACUUUUGGAACUAAUUCACCACAUAUCUCCCCAUCUUUUGCUAUCAUUUAAAACACUCUUCUUGAGAAAACUAUACCUGAACCACCAUAUUUUUUACUUGCAAAGACUCCUCAUACUUAGGAAUUGGUACCAUCACAUUUGCAUUUCAAGCAAACACAUGAUAGUGUAGACCCUCAAUUUUAUCCCUUUAGCACAUGUCUUUAAGUUCACUUCCAAUGCUUCACAGUAGUUCCUUGGUGGCCCAUAGCUACUCAUACUACUUACAUUUUUUGAGCCACCUUGGAGACUUUGGUUGAGGGAUUUAUCUAACCCCGUUGUGACUCUUGGCAGCCUUAAUUUAGACUUAGGCCCACUUAGGCACCCUAGACCCAUUUAGAUACACUUGGCCCAUUAGGCAUUACCUUAGGCCCAUUUAGAUGCACUUGGAACCUUCUAGCUUGCACACAUUCACCCUAGGUUACUUAGUCAAUCUUUCAGAAUAGGUCACUUGGACACUUCUUUUGGAAUAGUUCACUUAGGCAUGUGCUUGAUUUUGGUUAUUUAUUUUUCAGGAUAAGAUGAGUGUUGGCUUGACUUUUUAUUACAUGAAAUGAAUUUUUUAUUCUAUCUUUAUUUUAUUUUUAUUUUUAUUUUUGAAGGUUUGAGUUUGACAUUUAAAUUAUUAUAAUCCGUUGCAUUACUUUAUUUUCUUGAUUUUUUUUAAUUGCAUACGUCUUAUAUUUUUUGUUAUACCCUUAUCGAUUUAUUUGUUUAUUUACUCACUUAUUCAUUUAUUCUUUAAUUCCAUGAAUUGACAUUUUGGAUUUUUGUGGCUAUGUGAUUUGAUUUUAUAUUUGAUUUUAUUCUAUUUCCAAUUACAUGAUUUCUUAUUUCAACUUUAUUUUAAAUUUUGCAUGAGACUUGGAGCCAUCAAGGAGAGGAGAUCACGACCAAAGAGGGAAACUUGGAAGGAAUCCGGGCUGCAUAUAGAAAGUGGGCAGAUCACGACUUUAAGAAAGAAUCCGGGCUGCAUAUGAUUUGUUUGAAGAAAGAAUCCGGGCUGCAUAUAGAAAGUGGGCAGAUCACGGUUGAGGCACAUCCGGGAGCAUAUGGAAAGAAGAUUAAAGGGGAUCUGAUCACUUACCAAACAAGAUACGACUGCAUCCUUGGGGAAAUCUCCAUGUGAGCCACACAUAAUGGGCUUCCCAUAUCCACGCGCAUGUAGGAAAAAAUGGAAAUAAGAUAUUCCAUAAGGAGUGGGUUGCCUUAUAAAUAAAGGAGAGAAUCCAAGCAUAAGAGGAAUUUUUUUUUCGAAGGGGAAUAGGCCGAAAGAAUUUUCAAACGGAGACUUUUCUUUUGGAGGGCAGAGAGGACACGAGAGCAAUUCUUUUGAGAAGACGUGUGAAGAACAUUGAAGAGCCGACACAUAACCAUAAAAAAGGGAGGAGCAGCCCACAAAAUCUCCACAAAUAACGGUUUAUAGGUAAGUGUACGCUUUCAAAUUUAUCUUUGAUUUCGUUUUGAUUCGUCCUUUUAGUCUUGAGUGUUUUAAUGAUUUUUGUUCUUUGAUUUAAUUAAUCCUAUAUAAUAAAUUUCUUGUUUUAAUUUCGAUUUAGUUUUAAUUUAUUUUUCUUCUUUAGUUUGGAUGUGUUUGUGGUUUUAAUUCUUUAGUUUAAUUUAUCCCAUUAGAUAAAGUUCCUUUUUUUAUUUAUUCCAAUUCGAUUUAGUUUUAAUUUAUCUUUUAUGUUUAGAUGUGUUUGUAGUUUUCUUUAAUUUAAUUGUUUUUAUUAUAAAAGUCCCUAUUUUUAAUUUUGAUCUAGUUCAAUUUUAAUAUAUUUUUUAUGUUUAGAUGUGUUUGUGAUAUUAAUUCAUCAGUUUAAUUAUUUCUAUUAGAAAAGUUUUGUUUUUAAUUUUGAUUUAGUUCACUGUUAAUCUACCUUUUAUGUUUAGUGUUUGUCGUUUUAAUUCGUUAGUUUAACUGUUCAUAUUAGAAAAGUUCUUAUUUUUAAUUUCAAUUUAGUUCAAUUUUAAUCUAUCUCAUAUAUUUGUGAUUUUAAUUCGUUAGUUUAAUUAUUCCUAUUAGUAAAGUUCUUAUUUUUAAUUUCAAUUUAGUUCGAUUUUAAUCUAUCCUAUAUGUUUUUGCGAUUUUAAUUCGUUAGUUUAAUUAUUCGUAUUAGAAAAGUUCUUAUUUUUAAUUUCAAUUUAGUUCAAUUUUAAUCUCUCCUAUAUGUUUAAAUGUGUUUGAGAUGUUAAUUCAUUAGUUUAAGUAUUCCUCAUAGAUAAAGUUCACAUUUUUAAAAUCCCAAAUUAGUUUAAAUUUUAAUUUAGCUGUUAGUUUAAAUAUGUUUGUGAUUUUAAUUCCUUAGUUUAAGUAAUUUAAGAGAUAAAGUUUAAUUUUAUUUUAUUUUUUUUUGGAUUAAUUUAGUUUUAGUUUAUAAUUUAAUUUGAAUGCGUUAAUGAUUUCAAUUCCUUAGUUUAAAUAAUUUGUGAGAUAAAGUUUACUUUCUUUAAUUUCAAAUUAACUUAGUUUUAGUUUAUGAUUUAAUUUGAAUGUGCAAGUGAUCCUAAUUAGUUUGAUUUUAAUUUGUUUUUAGUUUAAAUAAUCACGCUAAAUAAAGUUUGUGUUUUUAAUUCCAAUUACUUUAAUUUUAAUUCAUUUUUAACUUAAAGGCAUUCGUGGAUCUUAAUUCUUUAGUUUAAAUGAUUGUAUCAAGUAAAGUUUGAGUUUUUAAUAUUCCAAUAAUUUUAUUAAGUAGAAUUUAAUUUCAAUUCAGUUUGAUUUUAAUUUGUUUUAUAAUCCGAAGGUGUUCCUGAUUUUAAUUCAAUUGUUUGAUUAACCCUCUUAGACAAAUUCCAUAUUUUUAAUUUCGAUCUUAGUUUAAUUUUAUUUUGUUAAUUUAUUUAUUUGCUUUAGUUUAAAUAUAUUUGUGAUUUCAAUUUGAUAGUUUAGCCAAUCUUAUUAGAUGAUGAUGAUGUCCUUAAUUUAAUCUAGUAUUAAUUAUUUUUAGUAUUGAAUGUGUUUGUGUUUUUUAUUUCAUUAACUUUGAAUUUAAUCCAUUUAUAUCCAAUUUUGUAGUUGAUUAUAAUUUGGUUUAAUUAAUUAAGUCAAUCACGUGUAAUUAUUUUCAUGUUUUAAGUAUGGUAAUUUUGGCUUUGAUCUAUUGACAUUUAGUAUGAGCUUUAGGAAUUUUAGAUAAUUAAUCCAGUUAAUUGUAUGUCAUUGGUUUCAUACCUUCAAGAUUUUUGAACUUUGGUCUUUGAUUCAUCAUAUUUUGUUAAAAUGCUAAUUUACCUUAAUUAAUUCCAUAUUAUUAUCUCCAUAUGCUAAGUUUGUUGGCUUUAAUAUUUGAUUGGUUAUUUUUAUUUUAAUUCAUGUGCUUCUUGAAAUCUAAAUGUUAGUCUUGGGUAAUAUUUUGUUAGUUUGUUUUAUUAGGAAGUCAUAAAUUUGAUGCCUUAGUGAUUGUUAGUUAAAUUCUUAUUUUUUGAAGGCCACUGGAAACUCAUGAAGGUUGGUCUUACCCUCACCACUUUAAUUGACAUGAUUUUCUAAAUCUUUAUUUUGUGAUUUUCGCUUUCUUUUGUUUUGAUUGGUAUUUUGUUUUCUAUGUUUUAUUAUUUUAAAAAUUAAUUCCUUUUAUUUUAAAAUCAAAACCUUUUUCUCCGAAGACCCCUUUAAGAAAUUCUUUUUUUUUAAAAAAAAAAGAAGAAAAAAUUCAUUUAGAGUUGUUAGAAUAAAAAAACCCCAUUUUCUUAAAAUAAUAUGCAACCAUUUUUUGAUCGGUUUGCAUCUUUCUCCGUUUUUUAAUGAAAAUUUUGGUUUAAAAUCAGACACGAAUCCAAGCUUAUGGUCCCACAUAAAUGGGAUAAUUCCAGGUUAGAUUUGUGUAUAUCAAUCGGGGAAUUGGUGAAACCCCUACAUAAAAAAAAAAUAAUAAUAAAAAAAAAAUAAAAAAAUAAAAAAUCUUUUCAAAACUUAUUUUUGCUACCGUCUUUGUUGGUUGUUACAAUCAUAUCUAUUUUUUUUGGAAUUGUACAUAAGAUGUGUGUAAUAAUUGAUGAUUUCGUAUUCUUUGAUCAUUUUUGCUAUGCCAAUUAGUUAAGCAUGUUAGGGUUUCUUAUUUUACUAUUUAUUAUCUAAGCCCCCCCCCCCUCUCCUGCGGAAGCACACUAUGAGCUAUAUAUGCUAUCCAGGUACGUUCCCUAAUACCCACUUUCUAAACCCCGUGAACAUGAUUGUCAUUGCGUACUAUGCCCAUGCUUGCUAUCCUAUUUGAUUGCCUUGAUAUAUAUUUGAUGCUUGUUUGAUUAUCUUUGACAAAAACACAUGUUGUGAUAUAUUUCUAUAUUAACUUUUAUGUUUCAUGAUAUCACUUGAGAAGCCGUUCAGGUACGCACUUUGAUUCUCUCUUAUGAUCAGACUUUCUUAUUUGACAUGCUAUUUUUUGAAAUCACCUAGCCUACCUAGGUAUCCAUGAUCAACCAUUUAAUUGCCACGUUUCCCUCAACUUAGUCAGUAGAGACCUCUUUAGGGCUUAGAAGGGUGCUACCUCCUAGAGGUACCUUCCUAGUAAGUAACCUGAUUCCCGGACCUAGACUCGGUUUUUUCAAAGAGAUGAUUUUUCCAAAAAUUAUGGAGUCACAUUUUAGGAUUUUUCUUUCUUGUUUUAUUUUCCCUUUAAAAUAAAAAUAAAAUAAGUGGCGACUCCGACUUUUUCCAAAAUUAAUUUUUCACAAAUAGAAAAGCAAGUCUCACCGAUCGAGCCCGCAUGUGAAAAAUACGGGUCCACAAAUUGGCGACUCCACUAGGGAUUUUGAGGAUCAAGCUUGAACACUAAUUGAGAAAAAUGUGGCAUUUAAUUGGUUGAUUAGAGGGUACCCCUUUUUUAGGCAAGGUGAUCUGGUCUACUUGUUUGUUUAGAAUGAUAUCUUAACAUGUUUGAUUGCCUUGAAUGAUCACUUGAUUGCUUACUCACUUCAGCAUGAUUCACUCUCACAUAUGCUAGAUAGGACUUUGAUUGUUUGAUAUUUAUCUGCUUCGCAUGACUGCUUGUUGCAUAACAACCAUUUCUCUUGCGUGUUCGUAUGAUUGCUUGUCUUCAUUCACUAUCUCACUUUAGAUCUUAGGUUUUUCGGAUACACCCACAUCCUUCAUUGUGCACUUUAGAUUAUCCUUGAGUGUUGAGAGAUGGGAGAGCCUUCACCAUAAAGAAACCCCCUAGGGACGCGAGGAAGUGCAUGUGUGGAGGUGAUGACCACCUUGCAUGGAAGCACCCCGUCUCCUUGGAGGCGUGCAGAGGGUUGCGUACCACUGGAGGGUACGAUCGCUUCUGCUAGGGAUCCUUUAACCCACCCAUUUUAUCCUAUAGCCACCUCAACCUUGUAAGUUAACUUAGACCCAAUUAAGAUUUCAUUCCUACACGUGGGUGCAUCUGUGGACCUUCAGAGCUGCCUUGGUCAUGAUUGGGUUCGGUUAUCCCUUAUGUAGUCUCCUUUUGGUGUGAUCAGAGAUGAGUAUCAGAUUGAGUAUAUUUGGGCUUUACUUCUACGCACUUGUCAGUUGAUUCCUACAGAGUCACAUUCGUACCGCACCUUAUCCAGUGUUUCCAUAUUUGUAGGAGGGUUUACCUUGACCGAUCUGGAUUCACUUUUGUGGAUUAGAGUUGAAGGUAGAUUGACCAGAGUAUCAGACCAGUCAGAUUAGAGAUCAGAUCAGAGGGAUAUGGACUCACAGAUAGUUACCGUCGACCAGUUUGCCGCAGCCAUGGCUUCUAUCCAGGAGGCUAUAGCUAACCUUGGUCAGAGGAUAGAUGGACAACAGACCCAACAGGUCCCAAUUCAGGAGAAUGCCCAAUUCGAUACCACAGUACCGCCACCUCCUCCGCCCAGUUAGUCAGUACCAUAGGUUAUACCUUUCACUCUGCAUAGUCAGACCGAGGUUGCCCCGUUUCCUAUCACAUUGCCUAUCCCGACCUCAGAGGACCCACAUACACGUAUGGAUAAACUUGAGCAAAGGUUAAGACAGAUGAGGGCUUCAGACGGAGUUAUUACUUAGGAGGAUUUUGAUGGAGCACCGAUAGCCAGUUUGCUAGCCAAGUUUAGGAUGCCCGAGAUUGAGAGAUACACGGGCAUAGGCUAUCCUCACAUCCAUUUGAGGCUUUAUAGUACAGUUAUGAGGGCCCACGACUGGAUGAGGCCUAGAUGGUUAUGUUUUUCCCUAUGUCCCUGAGUGGUGCGGUACAGCGUUAGUUCGCUUCAUUGGAUGUAUCACACCGUAGGACUUGGGACGACUUGACCCGGGAGUUUUUGAGAUAGUUUGCAUUUAACACUAUCAUUGAUGUUUCGAGGAGAGAGUUAGAGGUUUUGAGAUAGAGGCUAGAGGAAUCAGUCACUUCAUUCAUCUCCCGCUGGAGGGAGAAGAUUUCACAGAUCAUUAAUCGUCCUUUAGAGAAGGAUCCGAUUAGCAUGAUCAUGAGGAGCUUGCAGCCUAAAUUUGCUAGACACUUGAUGAGAUUUCCCCACACGGAUUUUGGAUCUCUAGUACAGGGUUUGUAUGGUAUAGAGGAGGGCAUUGCUAGAGGAUUGUGGCCCGAGUCUUCCCAUACUGAUUCUAAGGGGAAGAAGCCUUUAGGAGGAUAGAGAUCAAGAGAUGUUGGUGCUAUCAGUUUAGCAGGGAUGAGACUUCCUAGACACUAUCAAACGGUUGGGCAAACUUUUGGAUUCUACUAACCACCAUCACCCCAUGUGUAGUAUAGGCCACCUGCUCCCUCCAGACCCAUUACUCCUACUUACCUACAUCCAGUCUCACAGCCUGCUUUUGUCACACAUGUUAUAGAGAGACCUCCUGCCCUAUACACCCGACCCCGAGCUCUGCAGACCACCACUUAUGUGUAGAGGCCAUCACAUUAGUUCGCUUAGUUAGGUAUGCCUUUGAGUCGAGCUUUUCAUAAGCUUAUAAAGGGUGGAUUAUUGACUCCAUUGGCACCCAAGCCAGUACCUCAGCCAGUACCGCCUCAUUUUAGAUUUGACCUACACUGUUCUUAUCAUCAGGGACCAGGACAUGACACGGAUCACUGCAACGCCUUGAGACAUGCUAUUCAGGAUUUGAUAGACCAGAGUUUAGUUAACUUGGGGCAGCCAAGUGUGACCACUAACCCUCUUCCUGCCCAUUCUACACACGCAGUGCUUCCAUCUCCAAGAGAUAUUCAUCACAUGGACCUUAUAGAGGAUGACAGUAUACAUAUGUUGAGUUGGGAUGAUGGGUUACCCGAGCAAAUUGUUUUGCAUGACAGUUAUGAGAUUGAUGGGGUUUCAUUGGGUUCUUAGGCCCCUACACCAUUCAGUUUGAUCCCAGACGAGGCACCAUUCCAGUUGACUCAUCCUACACCCUUGAUUAUUGGAUGUCAUGAUACUUUUGUCCCGUUCACUUUAUGGUCAGAGGAUGAUGAUUCGGAGGGAAGAGAGAUACAGAUUGUGACUUGUAAUGGAAAGAUAGCUCAGCUACUACCACUAGUAGUUAGACCAUUUGAGGGUGCAGCCUCUCAUGAGGAGGUUAGAAUAGAGGAUGAUGAAGUUUUGAGACAGCUACAGAGCACUCAGGCCCGUAUUUCUAUUUGGAGUUUAUUAACAUCAUCCAGUACUCAUAGAGAUGCUUUGAUUCGAGCCUUGAGUCAGAUCAGGGUAGAGACUACCACCACUCCAAAGAGAUUGAUUCAUAUGAUGAAGGCCGACAGGGCCACUUGCAUUGUGUUUUCAGAUGAUGACUUGCCACUUGAGGGUUCAGACCAUGUACGCCCUCUAUAUAUCACAGUUGGUUGUUCAAGCCAUAGAGUCCCAUCUGUCCUGCUGGACAAUGACUCAGCCCUGAAUGUCUGCCCUUUAGCCACUACUGUAACCCUUGGUUUUGCACCUUCAGAUUUUGGUCCUUUUGCUCAGACAGGCAGAGCAUAUGAUAGCACUAAGAGGGAGGUUGUGGGUACCUUGGUGAUUGAUUUGAAGAUUGGUCUAGCCACAUUCUCUACUUUGUUCUAGGUUUUGAGGAUUCCUACAUCCUUUAACCUGUUACUUGGUUGACUUUGGAUACAUAGAGCUGAAGCUAUCCCUACUUCCCUUCAUCAGAAGGUGAAGUUCAUUCAUAAUGGGCAGGUUGUCACAGUACAAUCUACCAGAGAUAUGUUAGCCUCUUCCGAGCCAGUACUUCAGAUUAGUCACAGUGAGGAUGACCUAUUUUUGACUCGAUUUACUUUUGAUGAAAUACAGACUCUCGAGAUUGAGGAUUUUCGUAAAGACUUUGUGGCUAUGUCAUUUGAUUAGCACAGUAGCAUAGUGGUUCUCGAUAUGAUGAGGGGUAUGACAUUUCUACCUAGUAUGGGGUUAGGACGACGCCAGUAGGGACCCAUCAAGUUUAUAGCUGCCAUUGAUCAUGAUACAACAUUUGGACUUGGGUUCAUUCCUACCGAGGUCGAUUACCGUUACAUGACGCGGCUGUGCAAGGAGAGGGUGAGGGCCUGUUUAUCCCACACACCAUUUGAUUAUCCUAUUCGACCCUAUAGGAUGAGUUUAGUCGACUACUUUGUCAGAGGACAAGAGAUUUGACCUCGUAUAGAGGAGAUUCACAGUAUGGUUCAUACAAAUAGAAAGAUUGAGCUUCAACAUCUAUUUCACCAGUUACAGUUGAGUAAUGGGGCUCCUGGCACUUCUGUUUCUAUAUCGAUUACUCCUACGUCUCCAGAUCGAGCUAGCAUGUGGUCUCUAUGCUUUCUAGAGGAGAUCACUGAUGAUGGAGUGAUUGUUGAUCCUACUGAGAUGAUUGAUGGAGUUGUGCCUCAUGAUGAGUACCGAGAUGAGAUGGACAUGAUGACCGUGAGCUAGAUUACCAGCAUUGUUUAGCUUAAGCCUGUUUCACCAUUUGAUAUGUUUGGGAUGUCUACCAUUGAGGUUCUUGAGAGGGCCUAGAUUAUUCCUGUUCCAGAGCUUCUAGAGGAUGAUAAUAGUUUGUUUGAGGGCUCUGUUAGCCCAGUUGAGGGAGCAUCCGACCUUAUGGACCCACCUCUUUCUUUUGAUGUUUUAUCGGGAUUUGUCUCCCGCUUUAACGAUGUUUUUGUUGCUUCAUUUAUGGAUUUGAGUAUUUUUUUAGUAUUCGCCUGCCUCUUGUGAUAGUACCUCUAUAUCUGCACCCCACUCACCCACUUCACAUAUAUUUGAUAUAGAUGAUGAGGUUGCACAACCCAAUCCAAAUAGGGACUCUUCUGAUCAUGACUCCGAUCUCGUGGAUGAGAAAGUUUCACCUGCUACAAGGGAUGUUGAGAAUGUUGAUUUUGGCAUAGAGGAUCAGCCUAGAGAGCUGAAGAUUGGUUCACCCCUAUCUACAAAUGAGAGAGAUAGACUUAUUCAUUUACUCAGGUCAUACUUGGAUGUCUUUGCAUGGUCUUAUGAGGACAUGCUUGGUCUUGAUCCCUCUAUAGUUCAACACCACUUACCUAUCCUACCACAUGCCAAACCAGUUAAGUAGAAAUUGAGACGAUUACAUCCACGUUGGAGUCUGCAGGUGAAAGAGGAGAUUCAGAAACAGCUCAGUGUUGGAUUCAUAUCAAUGGUUGAGUAUCCAGAGUGAUUGGCUAAUGUUGUCCCUGUUCCCAAAAAGGAUGGCAAAGUUAGAGUUUGUGUUGACUUUAGAGAUCUUAAUAAAACCAGCCCUAAAGAUGACUUUCCUCUCCCACACAUUGAUUUGUUGGUCGAUAGCACUGCAGGCCAUUCGCUGUUAUCUUUCAUGGAUGUGUUUUCAGGGUAUAAUCAGAUUUUGAUGACUCUAGAGGAUAUGGAGAAAACAACCUUUAUUACUGAGUGGGGUACCUACUGUUACAAGGUUAUGCCAUUUGGGUUAAAGAAUGAAGGAGCCACUUAUCAGAGGGUCGCUACUACUUUAUUUCAUGACAUGAUGCAUAGGGAUGUUGAAGUUUACGUGGAUGAUAUGAUUGUGAAAUCCCGAGGCAGAGUAGAUCACCUAGAGGCUCUAGAGAGAUUCUUUGAGAGGAUCCGAAAGUUUAGAUUGAGGUUAAAUCUUAAGAAGUGCACCUUCGGAGUGACUUCUGGGAAGUUAUUGGGACAUAUGGUUAGUGAGCGAGGCAUAGAGGUCAACCUAGAUAAAAUCAAAGCCAUACUUGACAUGCCUGCACCGAAGACUGAGAAAGAGAUUAGAGGUUUUCUGGGCAGAUUAUAGUACAUCAGUCGUUUCAUAGCCAGAUUGACAGACAUAUGUGAGCCUAUCUUUUGUCUUUUGAGGAAGAACCAACCAACAGUUUGGAGCGAUGAUUGCCAGCUUGCAUUUGAGAAGAUUAAAUAGUAUUUGCUUUCUCCUCCUGUUUUAUUGCCUCCUACGCCAGGACGUCCACUUCUUCUAUAUUUGUCAAUUUCAGACAUGGCCUUGGGAUGUAUGUUAGCUCAGAUUGAUGACUCAUGGAAUGAACGAGCUAUUUACUAUCUGAGUAAGAGGAUGCUGGAGUAUGAGAUGAAGUAUGUUAUGAUUGAGCGCCUAUGCUUAGCAUUAGUUUGGGCUACCAGGAGAUUGAGGCAUUACAUGACAGAGUACUCACUGCAUUUGAUAUCCUGUCUAGAUCCAUUGAGAUACUUAUUUGAUAGACCUGCAUUAACUGGUAGACUGAUGAGAUGGCUCGUGCUUUUGACAGAGUUCGAUAUCCAGUACGUUUCUCAGAAGUCUAUUAAGGGAAGUAUUGUCGCCGACCACCUAGCCUCACUAUCGACAUCUGAGGAUAGACCAGUUGAUGAUGAUUUUCCAAAUGAGGAGUUUGUUGCUAUGACUAGCUUAUCAGGAUGGUGCAUGUACUUCGAUGGUGCAGCCAAUUAAUCAGGGUAUGGGAUAGGUGUUCUGUUGGUAUCCCCUCAGAAUGAUCACAUUCCGAGGUCUGUUCGUUUGACAUUCUCUUAUCGACAUUCUAUCACGAAUAAUAUAGUUGAGUAUGAGGCUUGUAUCCUUGGUUUAGAGACUGCGUUGGAGCUUGACAUUAAACAGAUAGAGGUAUUUGGUGACUCCAAUCUGGUACUUAGACAAAUUCAGGGAGACUGGAAGACUAGGGACGUAAAGCUUAGGCCGUAUCACGCUUAUUUGGAGUUACUGAUUACGAGAUUUGAUGACUUGAGAUAUGUUCAUCUGCCCAGAGCGCAGAACCGAUUUGCCGAUGCCUUAGCUACCCUAACUUCUUCUAUGGACAUUCCGAUUGAUGUAGUUGUACGUCCAUUGCUGAUUGAGUUGAGAUUUGCACCUACCUACUAUUGUUUGAUUGGAGAAACAGAGGUCCAGGAUGAUCUACCUUGGUAUCAUGACAUUUAUCAGUUUCUUAGAUUUGGCACAUACCCUGAGGUAGCCACUGCCAAGGAUCAGAGAGCACUGAGGCAUUUGCCUAUUAGAUUUGUGAUUUGUGGAGAUACUUUAUAUAGGCGAUCAGCUGAUGGUAUGCUUCUAUUAUGUUUAGAUUGAGCCUCUAUAGAUCGAGUGAUGAGAGAAGUUCAUGCAGGAGUUUGUGGUCCACAUAUGGGAGGACACAUGCUGGCUAGUAAAAUUAUGAGGAUAGGUUAUUUCUGGUUGACUAUGGAGACAGAUUGUUGUCAGUUUGUUUAGAAAUGCCCAGAGUGUUAGAUUCAUGGUGAUCUCAUUCAUGCACCGCCAUCAGAGUUACACACUUUGACCUCGCCAUGGCCAUUUUCAGUAUGGGGUAUUGAUAUUAUUGGGAAGGUUUCACCAAAAUCUUCAUGUGGUCAUGAGUUCAUCCUAGUUGCCAUAGAUUAUUUCACCAAGUGGGUGGAAACCGCAUCAUAUGCGAGGUUGACAUUUGCUAGGGUUGCCAGUUUCAUCAAGUUACACAUCAUUUGUCGUUAUGGGGUUCCCCAUGAGUUGAUUUCAAAUAGAGGGGUGCACUUCCAAGCUGAGGUAGAUACUUUGUUACAGAAGUAUGGCAUCCGACAUCAUAGAUCUUCAGCAUAUAGGCCACAGACCAACAAGGCAAUAGAGGCUGCGAAUAAGAAUAUUAAGAGGAUUUUGAGGAAAAUGGUUGAAACUUCUCGAGAUUGGUCAAAGAAACUCCCUUUUGCAUUGUGGGCAUACUGUACCUCUUUUCGCAGCUCUACAGGAGCUACACCUUACUCGCUAAUGUAUGGUAUGAAGGUUGUUUUGCCGGUUGAGACAGAGAUGGGUUCUUUGAGAGUAAUCCUUAAGCAGCAGAUUUCUGAGACAGAGUGGGUUUAGGCUCGGUUUGACCAGCUUAACCUUUUAGAUGAGAAGAGAUUGAGAGCAACCAAUCAUGUUCAGGCCUAUCAGAGGAAGAUGGCUCGUGCCUUCAGGAAACGGGUUAAGCCUAGACCAUUACAAAAAUGGGAUUUAGUUUUAAGGAUUCUCAGAGGUUUGAUUGGAGACCUUAGAGGAAGUUUAGACCUAGUUGGAGUGGGCCUUAUGUUAUUUGAGAGUUGACUCCAGAAGGGGCUGCAUGGUUGACUGACUUAGAUGAAAACCAGUUUUCAAAGCCUACCAAUGUGGAUCAACUGAAGAAGUAUUAUGUUUGAGAUUAGGGUCGCAGGAUGGAUGGCCAUCAUUUCAGUCAGCCUUACACCUUAUCACAUUUAUUAAUGUAUUAAACCGUUGCUAGCCUAUUGAACCCCACAUGGUAUGUUAUAGCCUUAUUUCUUUCUUAUAGCCUUAAUUACCAUUUCUAUACCCUGGUUAGGGCCCUUUGAUGUUUAUGCAUGCUUUGCUAGGAAAGUCUCAUGAGUUUUAGACUUAUAGGCCUAUUUUCUCAUUCUUGUUACCAUCCCCUUAUCACCCCCGUUUGUUCUAUUUUACUAUCAUCACAUUUUCAUUAUCUUAUUGUGUUUAUCAUUAUUUGCUUCAUCUUAUCUCUUCUCUUUCUUGGGUUGAUGAUUCUUCACAUCUUGGUGCAAAAGAGGGCAGUCAUAUCACUCCAUCCAUCCCAUCAAUUGGCAUCGAUUCAGAGAUUUUAGUUUGAGAGGUUGUCUCAUGGGUUGGGGUUCAUGUAUUCAUCAGUGGUUUGAGAGAGUUUGUUCACUCCUUGUAUCUUUCCCAUUGGAGUCCGAUUUAUUGAUGAUCAGAAGAUGCACAUUCAAAAAAAAAAAAAAAAACGCAAUGACAUGUUUGUGUAUGGUAUCUUGCUCCAUUGGGCACUUAUAUCACCUUUUGAGGUUUAUUUACUAGGUAUAUUAGUCAUUGUGGGUUCUUGUGAGAUUUUUAUACGAGUUUUCACUCCUUGAGCCACUCUUGUUAUGCAUUUGGAGUGUUGGGGGUUCAUGUGAGGGUUCUAUGGUAUCCUAUGCUUCUUGGGUCAUGGUAGAUAUGUGUUAGGUAUGAGAGAUGAGUGACCUUUUACUAGGGUCUCCAGAUCAUUGUCUUAUCCACUAUUACAUCGUUGGUUAUAUGACUUUGCUUUAUUGUACUGAUAUGGAUUGAUCAUCAUUCAUUCCCCUUUCUUAUUGCCUUACUUUGUAUCUCCUUACCCAUUUCCAGAUCUUCAUUCCACUUUUUAUCCAUUUCCUACAUAUUGAUACACGUUUUUUGAUUCGAUACCUUAUUCACAUCAUUUACAUGUUUCAUUGAUGGUUUGACCACUCAUCCUUUCUCUCAUUUCGCCCUUGACAUUUCCUUUGGUUACCUUUAGGUCCAUGGCUCAUGAGGUUUUUUUCUAUGCAUUACAUCUUAUACACGAGAGUAUGGGUUUGAUCAUUGGGUAUUUGAGCCUAGUUUCCCUUCAUUUCUUUCAUCCUAUCACCUUGACCUACGUUAUGUCUCGUGUCUUAAGACCACCCUGAGGCCAUGAGAUCAGGCGUUAUCUUUGACAGUCUUCACUUGGACAGGCUUUUGUAGACUGGUUGAAGUAUAGUCGUUACCAUGUUCUCUUUUAUGGAAGAUACUUUUGGAAGAAUUUGGUCUCUCUCUUGCUUGACAUAUUGAUGUUUGAUGGAUUUUUGAGUUUGAAGACAAUUCAUUGAUGAUAUCGGAUUUAUCCUUUUGUCGACAUCAGAUAUCCAUACUGGGGCAUAUUCCCCUUUCAUUCGGUUGAGAUGAGCCCCUAGUGGAGCACUUUCUUUGAGUUUGGGCUUAUUUUCACUGAUUCGAGAUUCCUAAUAGAGUAUGUUGAGAUGAUAUCAGUUAUAGUGGAGCAUUAUUGAGCUUAUUGACAGUUUUUAUGAUUCUAGGUUCCAUUUGCGGAGUAUUUUUGAGAUAGACUAGUGGAUCAUUUUUAAGUUGGAGGCAAUUUUCAGUGCAGUGUAUAGAUCUUAUAUAUUGGGGUAUAUUUUCCCAUUUUGAGGUCACCAGAUUCCCAUCAGAUUUAGUUAGGGAUUCAUCAGAGAAGUGCUUCUACUCUCGAGAUUAUCAUAUUCCUUAUCAUUUUGGUUAUUCAUUUGAGAUCAGAUUUAAAGUGUCUUCCUUGAGCCAUCGGCUGAUACUUCAUUCUGAUUUCUUAGCGGAUUAUUGUUGAGUUGGAGACAGUUGAUUGAUGAUGUUAGAUUCAUCAUUUUGAUUGUGCAUCAGAUAUCCACACUAGGGCAUAUUUCCCCUUUUCUUUGAGGUUUCUAGUUGUUGUUGGAUGAUAUGACUAUUCCUAUCCAUGGUUAUAGAGAUGUUUGAUUGAUUUUGACGGAUUCUUUAUUGUACAUCAGAUAUCCAUACUGGGGCAUAUUCCCCUUUCCAUGAUGAGAUUAUGUUCGGGCAGCAGUACAUAGAUGGAUGAUCAUUGUUGGUUGUUUAUCUCAUAACUUCGACAUCAUAUAUCCAUACUGGGGCAUAUUCCUCUCUCCUUUACGAGAUUUGUUUGGGUAGUGGUAUGAGGAUGGAUGAUUAGUGUCGGUUGUUUACCUCAUGACUUUGAUAUCAAAUCUUAUACUGGGGCAUAUUUCCCCAUUUUCUUUUAGUAUCCUUGAGAUUGAGACAGUGGCCAGCUUAGUUUUAGAUUGAGUGCCAGUCUGGAGUUUCCGACGAUUGACUUCAUUAGGACCCCCCUAUAAGGAUUUGUUGAGAUAGAGAUGGAUCAUAUCGGGUUUUACCCGAGGAGCAUGGGUGGAUCCUUUAGCCAAAUGUUCAUAGGAUAGAUUUGUUUUCGUCAUUGUUACCUUGAAGAUUGGAUUACCCAGAUGAGCAGUAUUUUGUGCACUUUGAGAUUUGUUUUUAGAUAAGCCACAAUAUACACACUUUGAGAUUUACCUUUUGAGAUCCGUCGACAGAGCAGCUUUUCAGACACAGAGAGAGUUCUUUCAGUUUAGACUUUUCAGAGGUUUGUCAUGAUACAUCGGUUUCUGACCUAUUGAUUUCAACGGAUGAUUGAUUUACUGGUUGUUUCAACACUGCAAGCACCCUAGAUACUGGGGCAUAUUUCCCUUCUUGAGUUCAGUAGUCCAACUCUUGGCAUUUUGAGUGUAUGGUUUUGAGCCUAUUUAUUUCCUAUCCACUUUCGAGUUAGUCUUAUUUAUCUGUUGCUUCUAGACCCUGAGUCUUACAGCCCUGAGCUAUCCACUCCUUCUACGCCCUGAGCCUCGUAACCCUGAGCUAUCAUUUUCCUCUUAGUCCUUGAGCCUCAUAGCCUUGAGCUAUCCAUUCCUUCUAGGCCCUAAGUCUCAUAGCCCUAAGCCAUCCUUCUCCUCUUAGGCCCUGAGCUUCGUAGCCUUGAGCUAUCCUUUUCCUCUUAGGCCCUGAGCCUCGUAGCCCUGAACUAUCACUUCUUAUUUAAGACCCAGAGUCUUUCCAGCCCUGAGCUAAGCCUGCAUCAUUUGGUCGCCCAUGAGUGGUAUGACCUGGAGUUUGCGUAUCGCACUCUCUUUCUAGUUGAUCAGUCAUAGAGCUCCGAGCUCAUGGCCCUGAGCUAUUCGUUGUAACCCUGAGUUACUCAUUGCAUCAUGACCCAGAGUCAUUCAUUCCAUCCAUAGCCUUGAGCUAUUCAUUGUAACCCUGAGUUACUCAUUGCACCAUGACCUAGAGUCAUUCAUGACAUCUUGAGCCUUGAGCUCACGACCCAGAGUCAUUUGCAUCCUUCACAUCCCUGAGAUGUUUCGUUUCAUCAUUCUAGCCAAUUGUGAGUGGCCUCGACCCGGCACCAUGAGCCGAAAAGCAUCCUGAUCGGCUAUCCGUUUAGAGCCCUGAGUUCUCGACCUAGAGUCGAUUUUCAUUUAUGACCUAGAGUAAUUUCUUUCCAUUUAGAGCCCUGGGCUCAUGACCUGGAGUCAUUCACUCCAUCUAUGACCCAUAGUCAUUCUUAGCAUUUAUAGCCCUGAGCUCGCAACCCAGAGUCGUUUAUCCUAUUCAUGACCCAGAGUCAUUUAUCCUAUUUCCGACCAUGAGUCAUUUAUCCUAUUUUUGACCUAGAGUCGUUCAUCCUAUCCAUGACCUAGAGUCAUUCAUCUCAUCCAUGACUUUGAGUCAUCAUUUUCAUAUAUUUCCAUCUUUGUGCUACUUGUCACAUACCUUUAUCUCUUUACUGUCAUUCUCCCCACAUAGAGUAGUUUCAUCCUUGUCGUUGAAGCCUUGUGUUCCAACCUUUCUCUCGCCAUGUGCUAAGACAAAAUCUCUGGUCCUUCUUUAGUUCUUCGGUAUAGUUCACUUUGUUCCAUUCAUUAUUCGUAUUUUUACUCACAUUCAUUACACUCGCAAUCUAUACCGAAGAGGGGCAUAUUUGUAUACCCUCAAUUUUGUCCCUUUAGCACAUGUCUUUAAGUUCACUUUCAAUGUUCCACAGUAGUUCUUUGGUGGCCCAUAACUACUCAUACUACUUACCUUUUUUGAGCCACCUCAGAGACUUUGUUGAGGGAUUUAUCUAACCUCAUUGUGACUCUUGGCAGCCCUAAUUUAGACUUAGGCCCACUUAGGCACCCUAGACCCAUUUAGAUACACUUGGCCCAUUAGGCAUCACCUUAGGCCCAUUUAGAUGCACUUGACACCUUCUAGCUUGCACACAUUCACCCUAGGUCACUUAGACAAUCUUUCAGAAUAGGUCACUUGGACACUUCUUUUGGAAUAGUUCACUUAGGCAUGUGCUUGAUUUUGGUUACUUAUUUUUCAGGAUAAGAUGAGUGUUGGCUUGACUUUUUAUUACAUGAAAUGAAUUUUUUAUUCUAUCUUUAUUUUAUUUUUAUUUUUAUUUUUGAAGGUUUGAGUUUGACAUUUAAAUUAUUAUAAUCCGUUGCAUUACUUUAAUUUCUUGAUUUUUUUUAAUUGCAUACGUCUGAUAUUUAUUUUUAUACCCUUACCAAUUUAUUUGUUUAUUUACUCACUUAUUCAUUUAUUCCUUAAUUCCAUGAAUUGACAUUUUGGAUUUUUGUGGCUAUGUGAUUUGAUUUUCUAUUUUAUUUUAUUUUAUUUCCAAUUACAUGAUUUCUUAUUUCAACUUUAUUUUUAAUUUUGCAUGAGACUUGGAGCCAUCAAGGAAAGGAAAUCACGGCCAAAUAGGGAAACUUGGAAGGAAUUCGGGCUGCAUAUUAUUUGCUUGAAGAAAGAAUCCGAGCUGCAUAUAGAAAGUGGGCAGAUCAUGGCUGAGGAACAUCCGGGAGCAUAUGGAAAGAAGAUUAAAGGGGAUCUGAUCACUUACCAAACAAGAUACGACUGCAUCGUUGGGGAAAUCUCCAAGUGAGCCACACAUAAUGGACUUCCCAUAUCCACGCACACGUAGGAAAAAAUGGAAAUAAGAUAUUCCAUAAAGAGUGGGUUGCCUUAUAAAUAAAGGAGAGAAUCCAAGCAUAAGAGGAAUUUUUUUUUCGAAGGGGAAUAGGCGGAAAGAAUUUUCACAUGGAGACUUUUCUUUUGGAGGGCAGAGAGGACACGAGAGCAAUUCUUUUGAGAUGACUCGCGAAGAACUUUGAAGAGCCGACACAUAACCAUAAAAGAGGGAGGAACAACCCACAAAAUCUUCACAAAUAACGGUUUAUAGGUAAGUGUACGCUUUCAAAUUUAUCUUUGAUUUCGUUUUGAUUCAUCCUUUUAGUCUUGAGUGUUUUAAUGAUUUUAGUUCUUUGAUUUAAUUAAUCCUAUCUAAUAAAUUUCUUGUUUUAAUUUCGAUUUAGUUUUAAUUUAUUUUUCUUUUUUAGUUUGGAUGUGUUUGUGGUUUUAAUUCUUUAGUUUAAUUUAUCCCAUUAGAUAAAGUUCCCUUUUUUUUUAUUCCAAUUCGAUUUAGUUUUAAUUUAUCUUUUAUGUUUAGAUGUGUUUGUAGUUUUCUUUAAUUUAAUUGUUUCUAUUAUAAAAGUCCCUAUUUUUAAUUUUGAUCUAGUUCAAUUUUAAUAUAUUUUUUAUGCUUAGAUGUGUUUGUGAUAUUAAUUUGUCAGUUUAAUUAUUUCUAUUAGAAAAGUUUUGUUUUUAAUUUUGAUUUAGUUCACUGUUAAUCUACCUUUUAUGUUUAGUGUUUGUCGUUUUAAUUCGUUAGUUUAACUGUUCAUAUUAGAAAAGUUCUUAUUUUUAAUUUCAAUUUAGUUCAAUUUUAAUCUAUCUCAUAUAUUUGUGAUUUUAAUUCGUUAGUUUAAUUAUUCCUAUUAGUAAAGUUCUUAUUUUUAAUUUCAAUUUAGUUCGAUUUUAAUCUAUCCUAUAUGUUUUUGCGAUUUUAAUUCGUUAGUUUAAUUAUUCGUAUUAGAAAAGUUCUUAUUUUUAAUUUCAAUUUUAAUCUCUCUUAUAUGUUUAAAUGUGUUUGAGAUGUUAAUUAUUAGUUUAAGUAUUCCUCAUAGAUAAAGUUCACAUUUUUAAAAUCCCAAAUUAGUUUAAAUUUUAAUUUAGCUGUUAGUUUAAAUAUGUUUGUGAUUUUAAUUCCUUAGUUUAAGUAAUUUAAGAGAUAAAGUUUAAUUUUAUUUUAUUUUUUUGGAUUAAUUUAGUUUUAGUUUAUAAUUUAAUUUGAAUGCGUUAAUGAUUUCAAUUCCUUAGUUUAAAUAAUUUGUGAGAUAAAGUUUACUUUCUUUAAUUUCAAAUUAACUUAGUUUUAGUUUAUGAUUUAAUUUGAAUGUGUUAGUGAUCCUAAUUAGUUUGAUUUUAAUUCGUUUUUAGUUUAAAUAAUCACGCUAAAUAAAGUUUGUAUUUUUAAUUCCAAUUACUUUAAUUUUAAUUCGUUUUUAACUUAAAAGCAUUCGUGGAUCUUAAUUCUUUAGUUUAAAUGAUUGUAUUAAGUAAAGUUUGAGUUUUUAAUAUUCCAAUAACUUUAUUAAGUAGAAUUUAAUUUCAAUUCAGUUUGAUUUUAAUUUGUUUUAUAAUCUGAACGUGUUCAUGAUUUUAAUUCAAUUGUUUGAUUAACCCUCUUUAACAAAUUCCAUAUUUUUAAUUUCGAUCUUAGUUUAAUUUUAUUUUGUUAAUUUAUUUAUUUGCUUUAGUUUAAAUAUAUUUGUGAUUUCAAUUUGAUAGUUUAGCCAAUCUUAUUAGAUGAUGAUGUCCUUAAUUUAAUCUAGUAUUAAUUAUUUUUAGUAUUGAAUGUGUUUGUGUUUUUUAUUUCAUUAACUUUGAAUUUAAUCCGUUUAUAUCCAAUUUUGCAAUUGAUUAUAAUUUUGUUUAAUUAAUUCAGUCAAUCACGUGUAAUUAUUUUCAUGUUUUAAGUAUGGUAAUUUUGGCUUUGAUCUAUUGACAUUUAGUAUGAGCUUUAGGAAUUUUAGAUAAUUAAUCCAGUUAAUUGUAUGUCAUUGGUUUCAUACCUUCAAGAUUUUUGAACUUUGGUAUUUGAUUCAUCAUAUUUUGUUAAAAUGCUAAUUUACCUUAAUUGAUUCCAUAUUAUUAUCUCCAUAUGCUAAGUUUGUUGGCUUUAAUAUUUGAUUGGUUAUUUUUAUUUUAAUUCAUGUGCUUCUUGAAAUCUAAAUGUUAGUCUUUGGUAAUAUUUUGUUAGUUUGUUUUAUUAGGAAAUUAUAAAUUUGAUGUCUUAGUGAUUGUUAGUUAAAUUCUUAUUUUUUGAAGGCCAUUGGAAACUCAUGAAAGUUGGUCUUACCCUCACCACUUUAAUUGACAUGAUUUUCUAAAUCUUUAUUUUGUGAUUUUCGCUUUCUUUUGUUUUGAUUGGUAUUUGGUUUUCUUUGUUUUAUUAUUUUAAAAAUUAAUUCCUUUUAUUUUAAAAUCAAAACCUUUUUCUCCGAAGACCCCUUUAAGAAAUUCUUUUUUUUUUAAAAAAAAAAAUCAUUUAGAGUCCUUAGAAUAAAAAAACCCCAUUUUCUUAAAAUAAUAUGCAACCAUUUUUUGAUCGAUUUCCAUCUUUCUCGGUUUUUUAAUGAAAAUUUUGGUUUAAAAUCAAACACAAAUCCAAGCUUAUGGUCCCACAUAAAUGGGAUAAUUUCAGGUUAGAUUUGUGUAUAUCAAUUGGGGAAUUGGUGAAACCCCUACAUAAAAAAAAUAAAAAAUAAAUAAAAAAUCUUUUCAAAACUUAUUUUUGCUACCGCCUUUGUUGGUUGUUACAUUCAUAUCUUUUUUUUUGGAAUUGUACAUAAGAUGUGUGUAAUAAUUGAUGAUUUCGUAUUCUUUGAUCAUUUUUGCUAUGAGCUAUAUAUGCUAUCCAGGUAUGUUCCCUAAUACCCACUUUCUAAACCCCGUGAACAUGAUUGUCAUUGUGUACUAUGCCCAUGCUUGCUAUCCUAUUUGAUUGCCUUGAUAUAUAUUUGAUGCUUUUUUUUUAUUAUCUUUGACAAAAACACAUGUUGUGAUAUAUUUUUAUACUAACUUUUAUGUUUCAUGAUAGCGCUUGAGAAGCCGUUUAGGUACGCACUUUGAUUCUCUCUUAUGAUCAGACUUUCUUAUUUGGCAUGCUAUUUUUUGAAAUCACCUAGCCUACCUAGGUAUCCAUGAUCAACCAUUUAAUUGUCACGUUUCCCUCAACUUAAUUAGUAGAGACCUCUUUAGGGCUUAGAGGGGUGCUACCUCCUAGAGGUAUCUUCCUAGUAAGUAACCUAAUCCCCGGACCUAGACUCGGUUUUUUCAAAGAGAUGCUUUUUUCAAAAAUUAUGGAGUCACAUUUUAGGGUUUUUCUUUCUUGUUUUAUUUUCCCUUUAAAAUAAAAAUAAAAUAAUGGCGACUCCGACUUUUUCCAAAAUUAAUUUUUCACAAAUAGAAAAGCAAGUCUCUCCGAUCGAAUGAGGGCGCAUGUGAAAAAUGCGGGUCCAUAGAUAGGCCUCUCAUUUCUAAUGUAUGCAAGUUUUAACUGUAUACCAUGGUAAAUUAGAUGAGAAACUAUAGUAAAUUGGAUGAAAGAUUAACCCGACGUGAUUUCUUUGUCAAUUUGGAAGGAUGGUGUAAUUUUAGGAAAUGACAAGCUUGCACAUAAUUAUAAUUAUAUUUUGAUGAACGAGACAAUUGUUUAAUGUUCUAUCUUGGUGUUUGGCAUUCAACAAAUUAUGUUCAUAUUUAAUUAAAAAGUUUAAUGUAACCUUGUAAAUGCAUAGUUUAUACUCACAUUGUUUAGAUCAUAUCUGGAAAGUUGAAAAAAAAAAUGGGACUCCAUUACAUAUCUCAUUAAUAAAUAUGUAUGAAUUACUUAUUAAAAAUAGAAAUAGGUCAUCCAUGCCAUGAGAAGUCAUGCCUCCAAAAGCAAAAAGCAAAAAACAAGUUCUUACAAUUCAACUUUUUUGGCAUCCAUGAUGAGUUUAUCAACCUAACUAUUACCCACCAACUAAUAAUAAUUGUAGCAUUAAUGCGAGUCAACUAACAAUCCUUCUUCCAUUUACCUCUAUCUUGGAAUUUGAUCUAUUAAAUUUUCUUCCUUUUACCUCUAUCUUGGUAUUUGACAUGUUAAAAUUGGACCUUCACUCCAUGUUAUAUACGAGCAUAGUUUUUAAGUAGAAAUAGGUAUAGUUGCUAUGCUACUAAAUUUUAUAUUUGGAAAUUGGAAAUAUUAAAAAUGUUUUAAUUGAAAAUAAAUAUAAUUUUAAUAUUUUCAAAUAUUUUAAUGAAAUAAAAUUAAUUUGGUGUCCCAUUUUUUUUUUUCAGGAUCAAUAAAGUGUGAACCCCAUAUUUAAGAAUCCUACGUAACUAUGUUUAGAAUUUGUAAAUGACAUAUAAACAUUCAUUGACCUAAAAACUCUCCUUGAGAGGUUUAAUUAAUAUAUACUGGAAAUUUCCACCCAAAAAACAUAGCACAAUACCUUGUUUGAGGUAAAUUUAGUGGAAUGCAUUAUGGGAAUUGCUCAAUAGUUAAAAAUGAGGGUGUGCUUGUUAAACUCAAAAGAUUAAAUACGUGGUCAACGUGAGAACUGAUACCAAUUUUUCAGACGAUACAACAACCCAACUGUCAAUUCAUAAAUUUUAUAUAAAUGAGGAGACAUACUGCUCCUUGGACCAAGGUAGAUUUUGUUUUUGAGUCUACGUUAUUUUCUCCAAAAAAAAUAUUAUAACUAUAAAAUUGUUUUCUAUUUUUUAUUGUUAAAAACAAAAAAACAUAUAUUUUCAGAUAAUAUCUUUUAAUAAUUUUUCAUUAUUUUUGCAUAUUUUUUUAAUGUAGUUUUGAAAAAUAAUUAUACAAACAUGGAAAAUAAUUAAAAAUAAAAUACUAGAUAUACAAAUUAUUUUAAAAAUAGGUUAAAUAUAAUUCAGGUUCCUAAAGAGAAUUUUGUUUUAUAAAACACUAUAAAAUAGUUUUUAAAAACUAUUUUUUACAAUUGUUUUAAAAAACAAUUACCAAUUACCAAAUAGGGCCCUAAAAAUAGAGAUGUGUCAAUAUUAACUAACAAGCUAGAAAGAGAGAUGUGUUAAUAUUAUAAUUAACCAUUAUAGGCAAACAUUGAAGUCAUUCUAUCAUAUCCAAAAUUGGCACCAUAAUUUUCCAUUUUCAACUUAUUUUCUUUUUACCGAUGUAACUAUGUGGAAAUUUCUUGUUUUAUUAAUUCAAUAUGCAUGAGAUAUUUCAAUGGUCCAUCCGUCUAAUUAAUGGUUGGAAACCGAUAGAAAUAUGAAACAACUUUUUCAUAUUGUUAAGAAUCUUUUAAAAUGUCUUUCUUUUGUCACUUCAAAUGAUUGGGUUCAUUAAUCUUAACCAUUCAUUCAAUGCUUGAGUUUGCAUCCACUGCUCACAUCCCUAUCCACCAUUAUACAUAUUGAUAUAUUUAUUAUUUUUGUUUUUAUUUCUAAGAUUAACAACUUUGGAACAUAAAAUGAUUAGGGAGUAGAGCAUGAAUGCAAGAACAACUUUUGAACUUAAACAUUAAGAUUGAAAUGGUCUAAAUCAGAUCAAGUGAUUUACUUGUGUGUUGGGUGUAUCCCAGAAGCCCACAUCAAAUGGAAAAUCACCCUCACCUCCCUGGAUUUGUUCAAUCAUACCAUCCAUGGGUCCCUUUUUCUGUGUUGCAGUUUCUUCUGUCCUGAGGCUUGCGAUAAGCAUCUCUCCAGAAGCCGAAAAGUCAGUUUCUUGAUCCAUUUGAGCAUGCUCAGCUAACAGGCUUUCCCACCAUAUGAUGUCAUCAUUCGGUUGUGGUGAAGUGGAUGAUGGCUUCCUGGAAGUACUGACUUGUGUGUCAAAAGUAUCCACAGCUGUAGUUUUUAGUUCAAACCUUGGCAAG
RNAcentral lists this long non-coding RNA (60689 nucleotides) under Vitis vinifera (wine grape). RNAcentral's name for it is "long non-coding RNA (VVIN_LNC000529)". Lineage: Eukaryota; Viridiplantae; Streptophyta; Magnoliopsida; Vitales; Vitaceae. The record is from RNAcentral.